Molecule: long non-coding RNA, 57027 nt
Filed under: Malus domestica (apple)
Lineage: Eukaryota; Viridiplantae; Streptophyta; Magnoliopsida; Rosales; Rosaceae
Description: long non-coding RNA (MDOM_LNC008886)
Source: RNAcentral
UCAGUGACUCCUAAUUGGUUGUUAACCAGGUCACCAACAACUUUGAUGUUAAGGAUAGCUUCAUGGCAGCAUAUCUGGCACAAACACAAUUGUUGCUCAAACACUUCCACUACCAGAUCACCUAAAUUCCUUGAGCGGCAAACAAUCAUGCAGAUGUUUUGGCUCACCUCGCCUCAGCGGUGGAAGACAAGAUUAGGAGAAAAAUUCAGGUCGAAUUGUUGGCAGCACCAAGCACCAUGGCUGCGGAAGUGUGCAACUUACAACAGGGGGAUAGUUGGAUUACCCCGAUUUAUAGAUUCCUUGCUCAUGGCACCCUUCUAGAUGAUAAAGUCCAAGCUAAGCAGAUUCGAUACAAGGCUACCCGUUACUUGAUCAUUAAUGACCAACUCUACAAGCAGGGUUUUAACCUGCCAUACCUAAGAUGCCUUACGCCCGCGGAGGCGAAAACUGUCAUUCGGGAAAUACAUGAAGGAGUCUGCGGAGAUCAUGAUGGAUUUCGAUCCCUACCACACAAGGCUUUUUGCCAAGGAUAUUACUGGCCAACACUCUAUCAAGAUGCCAUCAGAAUAUCUCGCUUAUGUGAUAAGUGUCAACGCUACGCAACUAUUCCUUACUCUCUUCCCGAGCCGCUCACUCCUAUGAUCAGCCCUUGGCCCUUCGCCCAAUGGGGACUUGAUUUGAUUGGCCCAAUGCCUACAGGGAAGGGCAAGGUCCGCUAUGCAAUCGUUGCAGUUGAUUACUUCACAAAGUGGGUUGAAGUAGAACCUUUGGCAACUAUUACUGAGGCAAAAAAUAGAAGACUUCGUAUGAAGGAACAUCCUUUGCAGAAUCGACAUUCCUAAUGCGAUAGUCACUGACAACGGGCGGUAAUUGGACAACAAUAAGUUCAGGAUGUUCUGCUCUAAGUUCAACAUCAACUUAUGUUUUGCCUCCCCAGCUCAUCCCCAGUCUAAUGGAUAAGUUGAAGCCAUCAACAAAAUAAUGAAGCGAACUUUGAAAACUAGCUUGGACAAGGCUAAAGGUUGUUGGCCAGAAUUUAUACCCCAAGUUCUUUGGUCAUACCACACUUCGUAUCGGACGUCAACAAGAGAAACCCCAUUCUCACUUGCCUUUAGUACAGAGGCAGUUGUCCUAGUGGAACUUGAGCAAGCAAUGUUUCGAGUCAAGAACUACAUGCAAAGCAAAAAUGACAAACAACUUACCCUUAACUUAAAUCUAGUCGAGGAACACAGAAACCAGGCUCACUUGAGGAAUGUCGCCUAUAAGUAGCGUAUCUCCAUUUACUAUGACUCAAGGGUCAAACCUCGUUCUUUCAAAGUGGGGGACUGGGUAUUGAAGAAAAGAUUACUCUGCGACAGAGUCCCGAGUGAAGGAACACUUAGUCCAAACUGGGAUGGACCGUUUGAAGUUGUUGGCAUCGGUCGCCAUGGCUCCUACAAGUUUAUAAGCUCCAAUGGCAAGACCCUUGGCCAUCCAUGUAACGCUGAUCACUUGAAGUACUAUUACAAGUAAACUCACAUUGUACAAGUGUUAAGCUUCAGCCGUUCGACAUCCUAUGUAACGAAGACCAUUUGGCAUGAAUUCAAUAAAGAGGUGAUUUAGACAACUCAAUCCUAAUCCUCUUACAUUCCUAGCAAUGAAACACUCGGGUUCAAAGCUUCAACAUGAAUGCUCCCAACAGGAAAUAAAGUUUAAGUAUAUGUCAACAAGACUAUACAAAUACGAACAACUUCACAGUGUAUUCGUUCAAUCUGACCCAAGUUAUGGCUUAUAUCAAACAAAGGAUUUGCUCAAAUAUAGCCAGGCAUUCAUCAAUGAUGGUGCAAAUACUUGGUAAUUAACAUCAAACUAUACGGCGUAAAGUUGUAAGCAUCCAUAAAUAAAAAGCUCUCAGGCUUACAACAUGGCACAUGCCAUACAAAUAACAAACUAGUACAUCCAGAGUACAUGGCACAUGCAUCAAAAACAACAAACUAGUACAUCUAGAGUACAUGGCACAUGCCACACAAACAACAAACUCAUACAUCCAGAGUACAUAUAGAAAAAGAGGGCACUACGAGUCAUCCUCAUCUGAGGCCGAACCCUUGACAAUAUCACUUUACGUUUCAACCCCAUUGCCAUCACCACCUUCCUCAGCAUCCCCAGGACCAUCCUCACUCUCCUGAGACUGCUCACUGAUACUAGCCUCAUUAUCAAAGUCAUCAUCACUACUAGGAUCAACUGCGAUGACGAAAGCUUCACCUUUUUGUCGGUACUCAUCCAUCUCAUCACGGUACUUUCGGAUAAUUCUUCCAUUGUCGUAACGCUCAAUGACGGCCAUCCAUUUCCUUUUCUCAAAAUUAGCCGCCCGGAUGCAGUGAGGUCUAAAGGCAUCGUGAAAGGCCAGGGAACCUAAAAACUCAUGCACAACAGCAUCCCUCUCAGUUGGGAUACUCCUCUUCAGCCCAAAAACCUCAACCAAGGCACUAUCCAACUCCCCUUUAACCUUGGAAACCUCAAGGAUGGUUGUCUCCAACUGUUCCUUAGUCGUUUCCAAUUGUUUCUUGAGCCUCACGUUCUCACCAUUCCGCCUUUUCAAACUCUCAAAGUUUUCAUCCUUAAGGCGGAUGGCAUCAGCCAAAGCUUUGCUCAUUUUUUUGGUGUCAUUCACAAGCUGCUUAUUCUCUUUAAACUUUACCUUGUACCGCUCGACCUCUCGUAAUCUGUCAUUGUACUCGGUCAUGACCUACAUGACAAGAUGAUUGUCACUACCAAGAAAAAGAGGGGAGAAAGCAAAGAAAUGACAGAGUAACACUUACAUAAGAAGAUAGCCUUAUCAUCCGGUCACGAUCUGAUUCGUUCUCAUCUAGCGGCUCACCAAGCUCAUUAACAGUGGAUCGACGUCCUGCCAGGCAAUUAUUGACAUACCUAAAACUACUUGGCUGUAUGGCAACUUUCAAGUUCUUCCAAUAAAUGUUGCCAACCUCUUCCUUGUACUUUCUUUUAUGGCUAGAGCUAGGGCCACCUUCUUGGUCAGUAGACUCCAUGGUUGGAGAAAAUAUGGGAUUGAUGGUAAAAAGAGGAGGCAACAAUCGUCUUUCCUCCUAUACAACUAUGGCAGCAGCACACCCGAUGGCCUCAGCUUCAGCCUUUCUUGAGGCAGCAAUCUUGAGGACCUUCUCUUGUGACUUAGGUUUAGGGGUUGGCCUCACCCGAUGCUUACGAGCUCUCUUGUGAAACAAAAUGUCGUCUACGGGAACUAACAUGGGUGCUUUCUCUUUAUUGGCACUAGUCUCCCCUUUCUUGCCCACUUUCUCCACUGAACAAGAAAAAUUAAAGUAAGGAAUGCAACUUUGUAAAAGAAAGAGGGGACGAAAUGAAAGACACAACUUACUUGCUCGUCUCUGGCACUCCGACACUAGGGGUUGGAAACUAUACUUUCGAAAUAAGGGUCGUAGCUUGCCCAAAUGUCUAUCCUCUUUAGGCACCCUCAACAUCUUCUCUACGUCAGCUAGCUUCCGUCCGGACAGCUUGAUGGUUUCUCGCGUCACUGCACGGAGAAAAAUGUUAGAAGCAAGAGAAAAUCACAACAAAUAGCAAAUAAUGCAAACAAGGGAUACAUUACAACCUACAGUCUGGAAGUGAGUAGGAACACGUCGCUCAGGCGUUACACCUUUAGCAUACUCCCAAUCAUUUUAAAGAAAGCACCAACAGUUUUUCCAAGUGCAAUACACAUUUUUCUUACCAAAGACAAUACGCUCUCUCUCACUCCAACAUGCACACUCGGUAUACCUAGUGCAUGCUUUCACCGGGCGCAUCUUAUAGCAGUAGCGCCACUGAUGAAAGGAAGGCUCACCUAACCCACAUUCCAUCCAAAUAAUAUAAAACCCGAUCAAGGUAUCCCAAAAACCAGGGUAGAGUUGGCUAGACGCAUAUCCAAUGAAAGACAACAUCUGUUGCAACCACGGGUGCAAAGGCAGCUUCACCCCUAAAAUCAAUAAUAUCUGGGUAUAGAACAUAACAUGACCUUUGGGCGGUUUAUAGGACAAUUCUUCAUGAUGCACCAAACGCAUUCCUACACUACGGGGGAUACAACAUGACUGCCUUAGGGCCUCAAGCUGUUUUUCGCUAUCUAACAAGUUUUGCACUAAAUGGUCUGCUGUGAACUCAAAGCGAAAUAUGGGUAUGGCGUCACAAACAACCCCCUCACCCAAUCUCGAAUUUUUUUUGUACAAGACUUCAACAAAGGCCCUGAAGACUCCAACAUUGCAAGCUCAAACCUAGAGUUAGAGUUAGGGGAGCCCUCAUCACUAGGACUUCCAAACUCUGAUAUCUACAACAAACAAAAACAAACUUUAUCACUGCAUGAAAGAUCAAAACAUAAGGAAGUUCCUAGGGCAUGAAAAAAAACUCAAUCAGUUCAUUAUGUUCUCAACCAAAUACAUGAACACUCAAACAAUUCAACAAGAAUGAAAGUAUGCGAUCUAGUAGAGAAGACCACCAACCUGAAGAUAGUGCAAAGUAAUGCCGGAAUCUCUGGAAUCUCUCACAACUAUAAAAGCACUCUGUCUCCAAAAAUCACUACAAAAUGAGCAAAUGAAGACAAUGAAAAGAGUGUAAACUUAUCAUUCUUAUAGGGUUCAACAUGGUCAAAUAAAUUCAAAAUUCAAAAUUCAAACCAUGAGAAAACCCCACAUGGAAAGUCUUCAAACUUCCACACAAUCUAGGGAGUUUUCAAAUUUCAAACUUGCAGCACCCCCUCCCCCUCUCAAGAAAAAUGGGGGGGGGGAGGGGGUGGGAGGAGGUGAACACAUUAGAUUCAUCAAAGGAGUUCAACCAUAAUUCUCAAAAGCUUCACACACUCUUGAUCAAGACAGUGUGAAGCAAAACCAAUUUAUGGUGCCAACAAGAGCUUUAUCAAUAGAGGGCAAUCACAAUUCUCAAAAGCUUCACACACUUUUGAUCAAGACAGUGUGAACCAAAACCAAUUUAUGGUGCCAACAAGAGCUUCAUCAAAAGAGUUCAACCACAAUUCUUAAAAGCUUCACAAACUCUUGAUCAAGACAGUGUGAGGCAAAAAACCAAUUUAUGGUACCAACAAGAGCUUCAUCAAUGGAGGGCAACCACAAUUCUCAAAAGCUUCACACACUCUUGAUCAAGACAGUGUGAAGCAAAGUCAAUUUAUGAUGCCAACAAAAACUUCAUCAAUUGAGGGCAACUACAAUUCUCAAAAGCUUCACACACUCUUGAUCAAGACAGUGUGAAGCAAACCAAUUUAUGGUGCCAACAAGAGCUUCAUCAAAGGAGUUCAACCAUAAUUCUCAAAAGUUUCACACACUCUUGAUCAAGAUAAGCAAAACCAAUUUAUGGUGCCAACAAAAGCUUCAUCAAUGAAGGGCAACUACAACUCGUAGAAAGCUUCACACACUCUUGAUCAAGAUUGUUCGAAGCAAUUUCAAUUUAUAUGGUUCAUCCAAACCUUCGACUACUACAAGGUGUGGCUUGCAUCACAAUCUCUUACUCAAUUUUGUGGAAGUAAAAUUUGUAUAUGUUGUCUCUCCCACAUUUUCAAAUUUCUAAUUUCCCAAAAAAAAAAAGGAAAUUGGGAAAUUCAACAAAGCUUCAUCAAUGGAGGACAACUACAAAUUCUCAAAAGCUUCACACUAUCUUGAUCAAGAUAGUGUGAAGCAAAAUCAAUUCAUGGUACCCAACAAAGCUUCACCACAAAAGCUUCACCAACAAAAACUUCAUCAAUGGAGGACAACUACAAAUUCUCAAAAGUUUCACACUAUUUUGAUCAAGAUAGUGUGAAAAUCAAUUCAUGGUACCCAACAAAAGCUUCAAAUCCGAAGCUUCACCUACAAAGCUUCAACUCCAAAGCUUCGCCUACAAAAGCUUAAACACAAAAGCUUCACCCACAAAACUUCAACUCCAAAGCUUCACCUACAAAGCUUCAACACAAAAGCUUCACCCACAAUAGCUUCACCUACAAAAGCUUUACCCACAAAAGCUUCACCCACCACCAAAGCUUAAUAUAAAAUAUAUAUAUAUAUAUAUAUAUAUAUAUAUAUAAAUUUUCAGAAAUUUAAAAAUUCAAAAAUUCAAAAAUUCAAAAAUUCAAAAAUUCAAAAAUUCAAAAAAUCGAAAGAAAAAAAAAAUUGCCUAGGCCUCAUCUUCUUUGGGCCUAACAACUUUCAUAACAAAUAUAUAUGAAGGAGGAGUUUUGGGCUACCAUGUAAAAAGGAAAUGCCUCAUUCGUCAACUCCCUCGACCGGAGACUUGGGGGACUCCUACCAUAUGUUACUGCACCUUGAUACUCGGAAGUCUCACGACCACUUAGUGACUUGGAUUUUUCAAGUCUCCAAUCGAGAAGUUUUCCUCACUCGGGAAAUUAAGGGAGCACUACCUCAACAUACAUGCUUCACUCACAAAGCUUCAACAUAUAAGUUUCAACAAAAGAAAAAAAUUCAAAGAACUUAGUGAAGAAGACUUUGGUGUAUUUAACACAAUACGUUGAAAUGAAGCAAAACUUAUUUAUUAACAUCUCCGAUAAGUUACAAAUAUGUACAUAUACAUGAGUCAAAAUAAACAAACAAGAGAGAACUUUCAUAAAGGUUGCUCAUGAAAAGUCUCAGCAGUCGGCAGAGCCCUAGAAAGAUAAGGCAUCAGAGGGUGAUCAUUCAGAGCCUUAGUACUGGACAGAACCCCAGAAUGAGGAGGCAUCGGAGGUUGAUCAUUUGGAGCUUCAUUACGCGGUACAACCCUAGAAGAUGAAGGCAAUAAAUGCCUUUGGAACAAACCCACAAACCUCUGAUGAUCAAAUAAAAUCUGACCAUUAGAUUCAUGCAUCUGGUCAAACUUACUUUUCAUGUUUGUAGCAUAGUCAUGUGCGAGCAUGUGCAACUGUUUAUUCUUAUGCUUGAGCCCUCUAAUCUCCUGUUUGAGACUUAUCACUUUAGCCGCCAAUGAUUCAACUUGGCGGGUUCGAGCAAAUAAAUGUUGGGCCAUAUUAGACACAGAACCUGUACACUGAACAUUAAGAGCCAGAUAAUCCUUAAUAACCAACUCAUCAGACCGUUUGGAAAGUAGUCUGUUAUCUUUAGGAGUGAGAAGGUUCCUGGACACCACCGCAGUGGUCAUAUCAUUCUUCAUCACAGAGUCCCCAACGGUAAGAGUACCAGUAGAGGAUAAGAAGGAUUGGCGCCAUAUGUUGUCUUGAGAAGGCAUGGCUACCUCUACACCAAAGUUCAAGUCAAAAUGACGGUUGGAUGGGCCAAACAUUUUCAGAAAUGAUGAAGGAGAAAUGAGGUCCAAUAAAUCUCUAAAGUACGAAAAUAAAGGGAAAAUUCUUACAAGCAAUAACUCUCUAAACGUACUUCUUACACACAAUUGGUGCCCUUAUAAAAGAAAAGGCAACAUGGCCGUUUGUUCAAAAAUCGAAGAGGCAACACUCUCCGGAUUUCGAGAAGCAGAUUUUCUUGAGUAAAAUAUGUCGACAAUUCCCACACGCAACAUCAGCACCUCAGGUACUGCAGAUAACUUUACCAAAGAUCUCUGACAAAGUUUAGACACAUAAAUUUUGAAGGUCCAGCUACCCUACCAUUACCCACAAGGGUAAAGAAACAUCACCACUACUUGAUAACUGGAAAGUCCUUGUGUGUGCCAACCUCCGUGCUCCGUGGCAAGACCGACUGGCAAAAAUGCCCAACCUUUACUCACAUCGAGAAAACACUCCCAGUAGGAUUACUUGCUCAAAAAUCGAAGAAGCAUUGCUCCCCGAAUCUCGAGAGCCAAACUCCCACCAAGAUGGCUUCCUAAAAAAUCGGAGAGGCACCACUAACUGACUAUCGAGAGCCAGACUCACAACAGGAUUGUUUUCCCAAAAAUCGAAGAGGCACCGCUCUCCAAAUCUCGAGAGCCUGACUCCCAACAGGAUUGCUUUCUUAAAAAUUGAAGAGGCACCGUUCUCCGAAUCUCGAGAAUCAGAUCCCCGACAAGAUUGCUUGUUCGAAAACCGAAGAGGCACUGCUCUCCAAACUUCGAGAGCCAGAUUUCCUUGGAUAAAGCUUAUCUGCAAUCGUCACAAGCAACAUCGGCUUUCCAGAUACUACAGACCACUUUUUCGAAGUGCUCUGAAAAAGUUAAAACACGUGAAUCUUGCAACUCCCACUACAUUGCUAUGACUGAGAAGGGUAAAGGAAUAGCGUUACUACUAGCUAUUGGGACAAUUUCUAUAUAUGUCGACCUCCAUCCUCCACAACCAGGCAUACCUGUAAAUAAAAAAAAAUGCUCAACUUUUAUUCACAUCCAAGAAGGCACUCCCAAUAGAGUCUCUCGAAAUACUCAGCUUCUUCCCCCUCCCCCCCCCCGGCGAUAAUACUUAUGCAAACAAGUCACACCAAAGUAAGAGUAUCUCAUAUCAUGAGGGUUAAAAGAAAAAGUAUCUCAUAUCGUGCUUUUUCCCUGUAUUUUCCUUUGCCCUUACUCUUACCUGCAGGACAAAGAGAAAAAACAUAAUCAGUCAGAACCUAAAAUCAAACUUCCGAUCUGGAACUGAUUGCCCGAAAUAUUUGCAUGGUUGUUUGCCUAACAUUGCUCUCGAGUACUCAUCCUCAAUUGUUGUCAAGGUCAUAAAGUCCUUCGGCAAAUACCUCAGAACAGUUAAUAUGAUAUUGACGUUUCACACUGAAGCUGCCACGCAUGGAUGAGUUGCUGAGAAGUAGUGCUUUGAAGAACCAUUUAAAUGCAAAGGUUGAAUUCCAUUCCUACAUCGAGGACAAAUGUUGUAAGAGAUUGAAACAUAAUGAUCAAUGAUGAGCUAGAACAUAUCACUACAACACGAUGCCCUUCCUGCAGAACCACACAACCCAGACAGAGGAGUCUAAAUCAAAUCCAAACCCAGCAUCGCUGCCCUAUCCGAAGAACUUGAGAAUCUUCAACAACCUUUUGCUGACACCAUCACCAAAUAGCAAAGCUUCGCCAUACCACACCCACUACUUUAUCAACAGCAAAAGUAUCCCAUAUCAUUAGGGUCGAACGUACUCUAGAUUUGAUGGACUUGUUUUGACCCUUAAAUUCUUAAGUCGGCCUUAUACUUUGGAGGAAACCAGAAAACCCUUCAACCCAAUUCAAGAAUAAGCUUGUGGAAAGUUACUUCUUCAAAAGUAAAAGUAUCUCAUAUCAUAUCUUCUCCAUUUGCUUCUCCUUAUCCAUGUUGCUGUUUACGACACAAUGAGAAGGAGAACAAUCAACCGGAAGCCGAAGUCGAACCUCUGAUCCAGGUUGCUUGCUUGGAAGUCUGAUUGCUUACCUUGUCUGUUACCUCAUUCGGCAAAUCUCCUAACUCGGCGACUUGGAUGACUCUUACUAUAAGGUUUGUAUCGCACUUGACCAAGCCAGAAAUUACAAGUAAGCUUCAAUUGAUACAUUACCUUGUGCAUCUUCAUCGAUUAAAGAUACCACCCUUGGAUGAAGGAAAAGUACUUCCAGAGAAGAUGCCACAUCUACAUAUAAGACAGAUAAGGCAAGUGAAAAUGAUACCACACUUCGGUACUUAGAAGUUUUGUGAUUACUUAAUGGCUUGGAUCUUGCAAGUCCCCAAUCGAGAAGCUUCCCUCACUCGGGAACUUAAAGGAGCACUGUUUGUACCAUACUUGACCAACCCCGAAACUACUAAGCACCGGUCAACAUUAUACCACCAAGGACCCACAAGAGUCUCCCUCCAACCAGGAGACCAAUCAGCGACACAUGUCAACAUCAGAGACCAAUCAUAACGCGACACGUGUCGAUAUCAGAGGUCAAUCACAACACGACACGUGUCAAUGUCAGAAUGAAACUAGAAACUCACUUCUAUAAAUAGAGAUCAUUCUCUCACAAUAUUUUCUAAUGUUAUUUGUACUAAAUCAUUCGCUAGUACUCACUAAAGGAGAGCUUGAACCUAUGUACUUGUGUAAACCCUUCACAAUUAAUGAGAACUCCUCUACUCCGUGGACGUAGCCAAUCUGGGUGAACCAUGUACAUCUUGUGUUUGCUUCCUUGUCUCUAUCCAUUUGCAUACUUAUCGACAUUAGUGACCGGAGCAAUCUAGCGAAGGUCACAAACUUAACACUUUCUGUUGUACCAAAGUCCUCACUGAUUUUGUGCAUCAACAUGACUCAUUUUGAUGGAAUUCUGAUGUUGAUGAAAAAGACCAUAUAUGCAUGUUUUGACUAGUUAAGAGACUAAUGGUCAUGGCAAGUGGCCUUUUACCACAAUGGUGGAAAGGUGUUGAGCCUUUCCAUAGCAGCAUUGGUUCAAAUCUUGUUCGGUGUCCAACAUCCUAAUCUAACAAAUCUAUCAUUUGACAAUAAAAAAGAGACUACUGGUCAUGAAUUUUUAGAACAUCUCUAAAGAAGAUGUCAAAUUUGAAACAUCAAAUUGAUAUUUGAUGGCUUAUGUGGCGAAUUGACAUUUUGUACAAUUUUUUUAUUCACUCGAUAUGUUAAAUGAUAAUUCCAUUCUAAAUUUUUUUUUAUCACUUUGUAGGGUCCAUUUAUUGAGGCAACCAAUCUAAUUCUUAGAAUACACAACAACAUUUAUUAUAUGCAUUAAAUGUAAUAAAAAAAAAUACUAAAUGCAUUUGACAGUAGAAGACUUUGCCUUCAAUUGACUCAACGCCAUGUAGGAAAUUGAAGGCUCAGUUGGAGAGAGUGUGCUGCCAAUUUUUACUAUUAUAUACUUAUACGACAGUUUUGACAUCUCCUUUAGCGAUACUCUUAGUUGAAGAAUCAUUACUCCAUUGAGUUAAAGUUGAUGAACUAUUUCUACAAUUUUCUCGGAUUUCAUUUGUUGUAGAAGAGAUCUAAUGUAAGUUCCAGCUAUGUGAUGGUUAGCCGUCCAUAUACACAUAGCGACACUGUGAAAGUGAUAGUGUAAAGGGAUUACAUUUGAGAGAAACUCUAAUUUGUGGAACAUUGAAUUUGUGAAACAUCAAAAGCUUGAGAGAAACUAUUUUUUUAAUUAUAAUUAAGAUAAAUAAAAUAUAUCAAAUUAAAACUUUAAAUAGUCCUGGAAAACCCUUGAAAGAAAAACAAAACAAGACAUUACAAAAAAAUUGAAAAUUAAUUUUAAGACUUAAAAGGUGUUUUUAACCUAGGAAAUUUUUGAAACAAAUUGAUCCUAUUUUGCAACGACGAGUUGGACUCAUCUCUUUUUUUCCUGUUCAGAAAGGUAUUUUGAACCAUCACUGAAACACUAUUUACACUAAAAUUCACCUUUUUGAUAUGCUCGUUCAGCCUUACAUCAUACACAAGUAAUAUUUAGUCAUUAAAACCUACAUAGUCUAUAUUUUAUCAACCAUCACGCGUGAAUGACUGAGCUUUACAAAAUCAUGCACAAAUAGAGACCAUUUUUUAAGUAUAAUUGGUUUGUGUCCCUCCAUUCUUGGAGGGUGGGGAGGGUUAUGCAUUUGCUGGUUAUUUUAUGUUGGGGGAUAGAAACCCAAUUGGGGUUCACUUUCUUUUGGGAUUUGGACAAAUGCAGACGGGGGCCUCAUGUUAUGUUCUCAAACAGGAAAGGGGUGAUUCAAGUGGUCCCAUUUGGCACUUGCUGUAUAAAAAUAAGAUGCUGGGGAGAGAUGGACUGAUGGAAGGGAAAGCUGAAUCUUUGUGUAAUCAGAUCUCAAACCUACGAGUUUUCAUUAAAGGGAGGGCUCUAUGUCCUUGCAUGUGGACCAGGACAAGGUGAUGUAAUUUGUCUAUAAAUGAUGAAACAGUCGAGUUGUGGGAAAUAUGUAGAUCGAUUGACAUGAAACCUUUUUAUCUUGUCCAAACAGUCAUCAAAUUCUAAUAUGUUGAAAAGCUGUGUGGAGAAUGGAUAUAAUUAGAUGACUAGAUUUCUUCAUAAGUAAUCCAUUUACGUACCUUAGUUAGUGGGGUGUAUAUUGUUUUUCUGCUUCUUCAUAAUCCCAAAUGAUCGUAUAACUAAUAUGGUCAUUGUUUGUACCAUACUUGACCAAUCCCGAAACUACUGAUCACGGGUCAACAUUAUACCGUCAAGGACCCAGAAGAGUUUCCCUCCAACCAGGAGGCCAAUCACAGUGCGACACGUGUCGACAUCAGAAGUCAAUCACAGCGCGACAUGUGUCAACAUCAGAAGCUAAAUGAAACUAGAAACUUUCUUCUAUAAAUAGAGAUCAUUCUCUCACAAUAUUCCUAAUGUCAUUUGUACUAAAUCAUUCACUUGUACUCACUAAAGGAGAGCUUGAACCUAUGUACUUGUGUAAACCCUACACAAUUAAUGAGAAUCUCCUCUACUCCGUGGAUAUAGUCAAUCUGGGUGAACCAUGUACAUAUUGUGUUUGCUUCCCUGUCUCUAUCCAUUUACAUACUUAUCCACACUAGUGACCGGAACAAUCUAGCGAAUGUCACAAACUUAACACUUUGUUAUACCAAAGUCCUCAUUGAUUUUGUGCAUCAACAGUUAUGAUAAGCCAAUGUUCUUUGAUCACAAACUGUUGAGAUGUGAGUGAUUAUGUGUUGACUGGUAGCCAACAAAAUACACUAAGAUAUUAUGAUACAUUUAUCGACAAUAUAGGUACUCUUUAUCAACAAAAUAUGACAUCCUGCACUAUAUGUACAAGACUAACCAUGACUCAUAAAUCCUAAAGCUACAAAGCAAGGCGCACCUCUUCAUGUGGAAACUUGGCAUACCAAUUCAUCCAAAUUACAAUAUGUAGUAUCGUUGAGUCUAUAUGUUGUAAUGUAAGUGAAUUGGUGAUAUAACGUGAUAUUAUUACUGUCAUACUAAAUUUUAUUAACAAAAAUUAAGAAUAUUGUUUUGUCCAAUCAUAACUAUUUUUGUUGACGUUUGCAUGGCACAACCAAAAUCGUAUGUCACGUUGCACUUAUUCUCUAAAGCAAACCUAACUCACUUUAAACUCCUACUGCACUCUCCACGUAUAUUUCAAGUACUUUUUAAGAAGUUAUUUGUAUCAUAUAGAAAACCUUACUCAGAUCGCUACAAUUAGAAGAAAUUAUUAGGUAGUAUAUAUAGGGGUGUGAUAUCCACACAUCUUUUUUUACUUCUCACACACCCUUCUAAUUUUUGGCCGUCGGAUCGGAUAAAAUGAAGAAGAUCAACGAACAUAAAUUAACAAGGGGUGUGUGAGAAGUAAAAAAGGGUGUGUGGAUAGCACUAUCCACACAUCCCUUUUUACCACACAUCCUUUUUUACUUCUCACACACCCUUUGAUAAUUUAUGUCCGUUGAUCUUCUUCAAUUCAUCCGAUCCAACUGUCGAAAAUUAAAAAAGUGUGUAAAAAGUAAAAUGGGAUGUGUGGAUAUCACACCCCUAUAUAUAUUUAUUUGAUGGUCUGAUGGAUGAUGGAUCUCUGUUCGCAAGAGUAAUAAUUCUUCACAAGUUCGCAUCAGAAACAUUGUUAUCAUGUCCUUUAUCUAGUUGUCAUCAUCAUAAGUUAAGGAAAUACCAAAGUAUAUUAGCUUUAGAUACGUUUAACAAAACUAUUCUCUUUUUGGUUUAUAUAUAACCGCCCAACAGUACGUAUUAUUAUCUUCGAAUAUCAUGUGUACGCGUACAUUAGAAAAAUAAAAAGUAAAACAAUUGUUUCUCACAACGGAAAUUCCUAUUGAGUAGUUCGAUAUGUUUGCUCGUAUUAGCAAUAUUAUUUGUUAUCUGGAAAUAGUUGAUGAACCAUUAAGUUCAAUUGAAAAAAAAAAAGUAGGAAGAAUUAAUAGUGGGUUUUACAAAUAUGUUUUCAAUUAAUCAUGAACAGAAACUCAACCAGUAAAAGAAGGAAUGAGUAGAGGAGACUGAUUGUGCCAAAUGAUCCUCCUACUCCAAGCUGCACUGGUUUGUGUGCGUACUCUUAUGAAUUGCAGACUUGCAGAGAGUUGUCCAGCUGCUCUGGCGUAUAUACGUACUUCAAGCUUCACUUACACCAUGUAUGGUAGAGAAUCCCACCACAAAGAAAGAUCACACAACACAAAAAAGGGAUCAUCAAUCAUGAUUGCUUAGAUGAUAGAGUGCCGUGUACAUCAUAAGAUAUAGUUUUCUUUUCGUCCUUUGUGCGGUUACAAACUUACGAGUUUUCGUACUCGAAUUUCAUGUAUUUAUUAAAUUUUCAAGACAAAAGUAGAGCCUUGUACACUGAAUUUGCAAUUAACAAGUCAUUAAGGUGAUCUUUAGACAUGCAGAGGUAAACUUAGCGUCGAAUUUAAGCUAUGUUUUAGCUCUUCAAAAAUUAGAUUUUGUAAAGAAUAGUUCAUGUCGUCUUCAUCUCCAACAUUGGAUGGCUAUAUUUCAAACCCCUUAAUAUAUGUUAUAUUGUAGUGCUAAGUAAAAAUUAUGAUACAACACAUUAUAGAAAUAUAAAUCAAUUUUAAGGAAAUAUGAGGGAGGCUUGUAGGCUAUGACUCACUAAUCAUGAUGCGGGAGCCAAGGCUUUAAAAAAUUAAAAAAAAAUUGAAAACUUCUCGUUGGCAUUGGAAAUUCAAAUAAUAAAGGCAUUGUAAUUUAUUUUAAUGACAUAGGAACUUGUUAAGUCAUUUCUAGAGAGUUUUUUAGGAAGUUGUGGUCUAUUUAUGCUUCUUUAUCUUUAGUUCCUUUAAAUAUUGAUGUAUUAGAAGCCAUUGCUAGACUUGAAUGAAUUAAAAUAUAUUUUGCUUUGUGCAAUUGAAGUGAGUGAUUUCUCCUUCCCCAAUCAAGCAUUUGGCUUGGUCAUCCAUGAUUAACGACGUGAGAUAGCUCCGUUGCCCCUGGUUGAGCGAAUCCCAGGUUAUCUAUUCCCUUCUCCUCGAUACCCUUGGUUCUGUCCUGCAUCAAAUGGCAUUAGAGCAGGUUUUCCGCUGCAGUUGAAAAUCAUGGCUAUGAUUAUCAAUCCGUUUCAAGAUCACAUCGUUGAAGAGAUUAGUUUCAUCGAUUGGAAUUCACCACCAAUUUAUGAUGAAUACGUUGAUGAAGACGAAGUCAAAAAUCAUUUUGUGAAUGAAGUUAAUGACAUCGAGCCUUCCAUGCAUCAAAUGGUAAUCUGUUACUGCUAUUCAUCUUUUGGAUGCUACAAGGAUCUUCAAAGUACUCCAAGCAUGAUGCAAAUGGAGAUGCUUCAGACCUACAAGGAAUGGAUGAUGGCAAGGUGCUACUGAUGUCCCAAAUGAAUUUUGAAAAGAAUUUCAGACAGUCUACAAUUUUUGUGACUUCAACAUGGAUGGAACAAGGCGAUGUCCCUCCUUCCUCAAGCCCAGCAAUGAUGCUUAAAGAGGCCACUCAUGUGAUAAGUUGCGGUUAUGAAGACAAAACUGAAUGGGGUUUAAAGAUAGGUUGGAUUUACAAAUUUAUCAUAGAGAGCAUUCUAAGGGGUUUCAAGAUGCAUUCUAGUGUGGUUGGAGGUCAUUUUCAAUCAAAAAGAAGGAACCAGGGCCUACAACGUUUGAAAGAAUGGGGAAAUGGUAUUUUCAUGAAUAUUUUGUGGCUUGGAACACUUUGAUCGCCGUGAACUUCAUUUUACUAUUGUGGUUGUUGUGGAAGAAUCUGCAAGGUCAUCCCAAAGAUCGAGGAAGACCAAAUGGAACUUGAGGACGAGUUUUCUUCGAGAAUGGGAGAAUGAUGCGGGAGCCAAGGCUUAAAAAAACAAAAAAAUAAACACAAAUUGAAAACUUCUCGUUGGCAUCGGAAAUUCAAAUAAUAAAGGCAUUGUAAUUUAUUUUAAUGACAUAGGAACUUGUUAAGUCAUUUUUAGAGAGUUUUUUAGGAAGUUGUGGUCUAUUUAUACUUCUUUAUCUUUAGUUCCUUUAAAUAUUGAUGUAUUAGAAGCCAUUGCUAGACUUGAAUGAAUUAAAAUAUAUUUUGCUUUGUGCAAUUGAAUUGAGUGAUUUCUCCUGCCCCAAUUAAGCAUUUGGCUUGGUCGUAUGAGUGAAUCCACGAUUAGCGACGUGAGCUAGCUUCGUUGCCCCUAGUUGACGAAUCUCAGGUUAUCUAUUCCCCUCUCCUCGAUACCCAUGGUUCUGUCCUGUAUCAAAUCAAGUGCGAGAUUUCUCCUCUAGAUCAUUGAUUAAGGAGUUCAUAUUUCUCUGAGCUUAUCAUUUAUAAGAAAGAGAUGUUGUAACAAAGUAUCCUAAAAUGAAAUCCUUGGUACCGAAAUGAUUAGUCACUUCUUCAUUCAGUACAGUUUUUUUUUCUUUUCUUUUUUUUUUUUUGCUUCAAAAGGGAUCAUGGCUUCGCCACGGUAAUCUACCUUUUUGAAGGCCAGAAAGACUCACAAAGGCAUUUCAGCCUCUCUGGCCCAUCGUGCUAUUCACAAGUGCAAGGAAUUGAACCCAAGAGAUACCGUGUGAAAUACAUAUCUUAAAUUUAUCCCCAACCACUAGACCACCCUGUGGUGGUAUCAUUCAGUAUAGUUAAUUUGAUAUUUAAUUGAUAUUUCCAACUCAUUUAGUUAUAUACUUUAGUUUAGAUUAAAUUUCCAAACCACGUAGUUCUUUUCCCAAUUGACUUGAUCUGGUCACGGAUUAGUAAUAGAACUUUGAAAUUAUUGAUAAUUAUGUGACAGAGAAAAUCCUUAAAACAGCCCGCCAGAAGAUAAGUGCUAGUUAAUAGAGGUAGGAGCAAACAUUCAUGAAAUGAAAUGUCAGGUUCAUCAGUCUUCUCCCCCACUAUAACUAAUUGAGCUGUAUGUUGAUUAAUUAAGAAGAAUCAAGUAGUUAGGCCCUUCCAUCAUCUUCACCUACUACUAUAAGUUCCAACAAUUAUAAUACUAAUCUAAUUGGGCCAACAGAAAAUUAAUGUAACACCUCAUUCACAACGUACCAUAACUAAUUUAAUGUGAUAUUCUGCAUCCAAUAGGAAGUUUUCAAAUUGAAAUCCAACUUGCUUUAUAUGUAUAGGGUGAAAACGUCAAACAUGUUUGGUGGGUUUUAAGUCAGAUUUGGGUAUUUUAAGUUGGGUUAGAAGGUUUAUUAGUUUUCAGCCAUUAGAUUAAUGCAACGGGCGCGUAGAGUGGUUAGUUUUCUAUUACAUUUUUAACUAGUUAGCGCUUGAACACUCUUGCAUAAUACGUAACAAAUAUAAUGUUUGGUUCAAUAUCGAGGUUGAGGAUGAGAAUUAUAAAUUUUCCAGUUUGAGAUAUAUGGUAUUCGAAUUAAAAGUUUUCUAUCAGAAUUAAAACCAGAUCAAGGAAACAAGAAUAUAGUUGAUAGCCAACUAGGUUAAGUUGGGCAGUUUUGUGUCUUAGAAGAAACGCCGACUCUCGUUCACAUCCAUAUUGAGUUAAGAAAUUAAAGUACAAAAUGCCUAUGAGUCGAACAAAGGAACGUUGAUCUUGGGAAAUUUACAACAGGACGAGAACCUGAAAUCAUCAUUUCAAAUGUGUAGGUUGUUAUAUAUGUGCAUCACAUGACCUCUAUGAUAGCAGUGUUUAUCUAGGAUGCGUGAGAGUGUGCAACGGGCUAGGGCAGCUUGACCAUGCCCAGUUUAAUGUCAACCUAGCACAACACAUCAUGAUUUUUUGAGGACUAGGGCAAGCAUGGGACACGCCAUGGCGUGAGACACGAUUUUCGUUGCACGUCUCUGACGCGGGCACGAGCUCAUUGUGAGCUGGACUCGUGCGAAACCCUACCUACCUCCAAACUACAUGCAACUAAAACGUAGUUUGAAUUAUAUGAUAUCCAAAAUAUCAGAUUUAUAGGUUUACCCUCCCUAUAGCUGGAUGACAUCCCGACUACGGGAGAGGCAAGAAUUCAUUCCAGGGAUUUCAAGUAAUUGACCGUGUCAAGGAAGAGUUGGAGAAUAUUUGCCCCGGUGUAGUGUCAUGUGUGGACAUUCUCGUGGUGGCUGCGAUAGACGCCGUUCUGAUAUUCACUCUUAAAAUAAUUAGUUCUCCGCUUCAACUUUAUUUUACUUUACUUUCCACACACCAUUUCUGGCUUCGUCACUGUUUGGACCUGAUUUUACACAUCGGCCUAAGCAAUCGAGGCCGUUGAGUAAGCAUGGUUCUCAACCGUUGGAUAAGAAAGUUUAGAUAUUAUUGUUAAGAGAUAAUAUUAUGAUUUUUAAUCAUAAUAAUUAUUUUUUUUAUAAGUUAUCCCGGUUUUUUAUGCAAAAUAAAUGGGAUGGAGGCAAGUAGAGUUGUGAUGGGGACGUGAGCUUUGAAUCAUGUUGGUUUGUUUUGCUGGACAUGCAUGCAUGGGAUGUAAAGAUAAUGAAGUGAUAGGGGAUAAAUCCAAACAUGCCAAAACGUGUAAUUUGCAAAAGAAUUGUGCAAUAUGGAGAUUCUAUCCUAAUGCAUGGUUUUUUGGGUUUGGUUUUGUGCACGUGGCAUGCGACAAUGGAGAUGAUGGUUUUGCAUGGUGAUGGCAAUAUGGGUUUAAAGGUUUCUCAUGUUUUUUUAAUAAGAAGCCUAGGUGGGUUAGAUCUCUAGUGAGAUGUGAUAAAGCCUAGGUAGGCUUUAUUUAUCUGAAGGAUAUGUGCGGCGUAUUUGAUACGGGAUCAGGGUCAAUUCCACAAAAUAGAGUUGCAGUUGGACUCUACAAAAUUAUUUGGCCGCGUCACACAACAUUUGCUCCUAUAAAUACAGAGAUAGUGGCAACGGAAGAAAGACCCCUGCAAAUCAAUACAAAAUUGCCCUGCGCAAAUUCUCACAACUUGUGAUUUUUCUUUUUCCUUUUUCGCUGACACAUCUUCCGUUGGCGUCAACAGCACUGUGGAAGCAACCGGUGAUAUCUUAAGUCGGCAUAGAUAGCUCUGUCACCGUAGAAUCAAUCGGUCUCGCAGUAUCUUCCGUUGGCAUCAACAGCACUGCGGCGAGAACGGUUAAUUACCUAUCCAAGUCUCGGUCGAGAAGGGUUUCUGAACCCUUAUUGGUCGAUGUCAUCUCAUCAGCCUUCUCGGCGAAGUGAGGUGUUACACGUUAUUACGUUCGGCAUAUUGAAAGCCGAAUUUGAUAUUGAACUUCGUAAGAAUAGUAACCUUGUCUUCAGGUUCGAGAGCCCAAGAGGCCGAGACGUGUUCCUUUCUCGGCCGCAAUCGCAAGACGCAGAAGUCAGCCGCGCACCCAACGCAACAUCAACAAAUUUACUCCUUGGCCGAGCUCGGCCGACGAGUUGGCACGCCCUGCAUUCACCGAAGGACGUAGUUAGCUCAUUAAUUAUUCGGCCUGCACGCCACGUAGGCUUUGUAGUUUUUAGGGUCAACAUUUUGGCACGCCCAGUGGGACCCAGUGCUAAACUACGAAGUUCACAUGAUCUAUCUCGAUCCGGCUUCAAGGGAUGAGUGUUAUCGCCUAUUAAAGGAGCAAAAACAACUUCUCGAAAGUUUGAGAAGAAUUUCUGAAAGGCAAAAGGCCGAGGGGCAAAUCUCCACUCCGGCCACAACCAAUAUUCGGCCUAAGAAAAGUGAUAAUUUGGCCGAAGAACAAAGGCCACUUGUUGUUUCGGUAGAGACUGAAAAUAUAGUAGGCCUAGAAGAAAAAAUUCAAGUCCCUAAGCUAUAUACAAAAAUUGACUUGGAAAAAGAUUCGUCAAAAGAAUGCUCUAGUGACGAACGAGGCCGAAAUAUUGGCCUAGCCCGAGAAACUACGCCAAUUGAUAUGAUUAUUGGCAAUAAAGCCGAUAUGGAGAAAUCCUGUUCGGCUAAGUUAUUUGAAUUAAAAGCCGAAAUUAUGCUUGGGGGGCUGUUUGGACUCAAAUUUACACCAUCGGCCCAUGUAAUCAAGGCCGUUGAGUGAGCAUAGUUCUCGACCGUCAGAUGGAAAAGUGAAGAUAUUUUUGUUAAAGGAUAAUAUUAUGAUUUUUUAUCAUAAUAAUUAUUUUUUAAUGAUGAAUUAUCUUGAUUUUUUCCUGGUACAAGAUGGAUGAGAUGUAAAUGUAGUUCAAUUUGAUUUGGGAUUCUUGGAGUUAAGACGCGUGGUGGAUUGGGAGCAUCAGAGCACGUUAUUAAGAGUCCUAAUACACUACUGCAUUGUUGGCAAAUGGAAAUUGGCAGAGAUAUUAAUGCUUGCAUAAAGAUGAAGAUGUUAAAUUGGAGAUGGAUAGCCACGUGUGAGUGGAUUUGGUGGAGCCAUGCAUGCAUAUCAUUAUUUCAAGUCAAGAUGCUUAUCGGCACUAAUUGGUAUAUGCUAAUAUGCUAUUAAUUAGCAAGAGGUGGUUGCAUGUUGGUAAGUGAUAACAAUCUUUUUGCAUGAGAUUGUUAUGAAUGAGGACUUUGAUGUUGGCGGCAGCUUUACAACACGAGCCGUCAGGAUGAGGAUGAUACUUAUAAAUACAGAGUCGCAAACAACGGGUAGGACCCCUGCAAAUCAAUACAAAAUUGCCCUGCGCAAAUUCUCACAACUUGUGAUUUUUCUUUUUUCCUUUUUUCGCUGACACAUCUUCCGUUGGCAUCAACAGCACUGUGGAAGCAACCGGUGAUAUCUUAAGUCGGCAUAGAUAGCUCUGUCACCGUAGAAUCAGUCGGUCUCGCAGUAUCUUCCGUUGGCAUCAACAGCACUGCGGCGAGAACGAUUGAUUAUCUAUCCAAGUCUCGAUCGAGAAGGAUUUCUGAAUCCUUGUUGGUCGAGGUCAUCUCAUCAGCCUUCUCGGCGAAGUGAGGUGUUACAAGUGACUACAUUCGGCACGUUGAAAGCCGAAUUUGAUAUUGAGCUUCGUAAAAAUGGUAACCUUGUCUUCAGGUUCGAGAGCCCAAGAGGCCGAGACGUGUUCCUUUCUCGGCCGCAAUCGCAAGACGCAGAAGUCAGUAGCGCGACCCAACGCAACAUCAACAAAUUUACUCCUCGGCCGAGCGCGGCCGACGAGUUGGCACGCCCUGCAUUCACCGAAGGACGUAGUUAGCUCAUUAAUUACUCGGCCUGCGCGCCACGUAGGCUUGGUAGUUUCUAGGGUCAACAUUUUGGCACGCCCAGUGGGACCCAGUGCUAAUACUACGAAGUUCAUAUGUUAUAUCAAGAUUCCAAUCUGGCUCAACGUAGCUGAUUGUACGAGCUCCUGGAGGAAUUGAAAAAACAUAAUGAGGAAUGCAAAAAAUCUUUGGAAGCAGAAAAAGUUCUUCGUGGCCAUAAAGAGAUGCAAAAGUCAUUCGCUUGCAUGGUGAAAAUAAAAGCUCCUGUUACCCUGCAUGGGUAAAUGAAGACAGGGCUCGAUUUAAUGCCUGGCUAGAUGAAGAACGUUUUCCUUACGUUUCUGAUUACAGAUCAAUUCCAUUUGAAAAAUGGUUAGGUCCAAAGGCCGGGGGGCAAUUUUUCGCUCCGGCCACAAUCAAAAUUCGGCCUCAAAAAAUUGUUAAGGCGGCCGAAGAAAUACUUAGGCCACCUGUUGUUUCGGUCGAGAUUCAAAGUGUGGUAGGCCUAGACGAAAAAGUUGAAGUUUCUGAGCUAAAAAUCGACUCAGAAAAUGAUUCGUCAGAAGAGUGCUCCAAUGACGAACAAGACCAAUACACGACUUCAAACCAUAAAAUCACAUCGAUUGAUAUGGUAAUUGAAGACAUAGGUCUAGCCGAAAAAAUCACGCCAAUUGAUCUGAUUAUUGGUGAUAAAGCCGAUAUGGAGAAAUCCCGUUCGGCUAAGUUGCUCGAGUUAAAAGCCGAAAUUGGUGAAAUAAUUAUGCCCAGGGGGCAUAAUACUUGUUCCACACAUUCGGCGGCUGAAAAUGCAAAAUAUUUUGCCGAGUCAAAAAUAUUUGGGAAAAAUUCUUUAUUCGGCCUAGAGCGAAAUCAAUUUGAAAAUUUUGAUGCAAAAAGAUCUUGGCUUGGAAUAAAACAUCGUUGGUCUCCUCCUGAUUAUGGUUCGGCCACUUUUAUUUUCGUUUGCUAAAAUAUUAAAUAAAUUAUUUUCUUAACUAUUCGGCUUUUUAGGCCGAUGCAUAAACAUAAAAAGGGGGUAGUAUUGUUUUGACCGAUUUGUGUUCGGAUUUAAGAUUUAUUCGGCAUAUAACAUAUCAUGCAGAAAUUAAUCAUGGCAUGAACUGUUCUAGCACGAAGUGUUACAAUUUGGCGUCAAAGCAGGAGUUGAAUCAUGGCAUCUGCAAUUAGAGUCUCGGCCAAAAGAGUGGUUGCCGAGCCAUUCAAUGCACCUGGGAUUGGUUUGGCCGAAUAUAUAUAUAUAAGAGUUUAGCCGAACUCUCGACUACCUUACAAAAGCCUCGGCCAAAGCUGCAUAUAUAUGAUUCGGCCAAAACUGUAUAUAUAUAUAUAUAUAUAUAUAGGAAUUGCUUAAGGGGAGGGAUCCCCAUUUUUUCAAAAAAAUGGGGACACACUCCCCACCGUUGGAUUUGAAUUAAAUGAAAUCCUGUGGUUGAGAUUCUAUGGCCUGUGUUUUAAUCUCAACCACACAAUUUCAUUAAAGUCAAUCUAACGGUGGGGAGCGUGUCCCCAUUUUUUUUGAAAAAAUGGGGAUCCCUCCCCUUAAGCUCCCUGUAUAUAUAUAUAUAUAUAUAUAUAUAUAAAGAAAAUGGGGAUUCUCGGCCACAACUAUAUAUAUAUAUAUAUAUAUAUAUAUAUUGGGGGGGUUGUUUUUAAUGAGGGCAUUAGAGACUCGGUGGACGUCAAAUCUUGGUCAAAUGAGUGGGUCUGAGUUUCAAUGGCCAUGUGGGGUCGAGGGUUCAUGAUUUAUCUUGGUCAUGAUAGAUGAGUGAUAUUCAAUUGGAGGAAUUCAGCACAGUAUUUUGCCGAAUAAGUUUUUAUUCGGCGGUGGUUUCUCCAAUAAUUCUCGGCCAUAUGUUUUUCUCGGUCACUCGGAGGUAGUCAGUCAUCGGUAUUAUUAUUGGUAAAUCAGUAUUAUUGGAUGAUCAGACUUGGUGCAUACAGCUGAGCUAUCAGGGAUAAGGCCGAGUAAUCAACCGAGCUACCAAGAAUUAGUCAUUGCUGAGCCUUGCAUAUAGAAUGAUGGCUACGAACAAUUAAUUUCCUUAAAUAUUCGGCUUAUGAGCCGAAGUUCAAGGAAAUUGGGGGGCAAUGUUUGGACUCAAAUUUACACCAUCGGCCCAUGUAAUCAAGGCCGUUGAGUGAGCAUAGUUCUCGACCGUCAGAUGGAAAAGUGAAGAUAUUUUUGUUAAAGGAUAAUAUUAUGAUUUUUUAUCAUAAUAAUUAUUUUUUAAUGAUGAAUUAUCUUGAUUUUUUCCUGGUACAAGAUGGAUGAGAUGUAAAUGUAGUUCAAUUUGAUUUGGGAUUCUUGGAGUUAAGACGCGUGGUGGAUUGGGAGCAUCAGAGCACGUUAUUAAGAGUCCUAAUACACUACUGCAUUGUUGGCAAAUGGAAAUUGGCAGAGAUAUUAAUGCUUGCAUAAAGAUGAAGAUGUUAAAUUGGAGAUGGAUAGCCACGUGUGAGUGGAUUUGGUGGAGCCAUGCAUGCAUAUCAUUAUUUCAAGUCAAGAUGCUUAUCGGCACUAAUUGGUAUAUGCUAAUAUGCUAUUAAUUAGCAAGAGGUGGUUACAUGUUGGUAAGUGAUAACAAUCUUUUUGCAUGAGAUUGUUAUGAAUGAGGACUUUGAUGUUGGCGGCAGCUUUACAACACGAGCCGUCAGGAUGAGGAUGAUACUUAUAAAUACAGAGUCGCAAACAACGGGUAGGACCCCUGCAAAUCAAUACAAAAUUGCCCUGCGCAAAUUCUCACAACUUGUGAUUUUUCUUUUUUCCUUUUUUCGCUGACACAUCUUCCGUUGGCAUCAACAACAGCACUGUGGAAGCAACCGGUGAUAUCUUAAGUCGGCAUAGAUAGCUCUGUCACCGUAGAAUCAGUCGGUCUCGCAGUAUCUUCCGUUGGCAUCAACAGCACUGCGGCGAGAACGAUUGAUUAUCUAUCCAAGUCUCGGUCGAGAAGGAUUUCUGAAUCCUUGUUGGUCGAGGUCAUCUCAUCAGCCUUCUCGGCGAAGUGAGGUGUUACAAGUGACUACAUUCGGCACGUUGAAAGCCGAAUUUGAUAUUGAGCUUCGUAAAAAUAGUAACCUUGUCUUCAGGUUCGAGAGCCCAAGAGGCCGAGAUGUGUUCCUUUCUCGGCCGCAAUCGCAAGACGCAGAAGUCAGUAGCGCGACCCAACGCAACAUCAACAAAUUUACUCCUCGGCCGAGCGCGGCCGACGAGUUGGCACGCCCCGCAUUCACCGAAGGACGUAGUUAGCUCAUUAAUUACUCGGCCUGCGCGCCACGUAGGCUUGGUAGUUUCUAGGGUCAACAGGGGCAUAAUAAUUGUUCAGCGCAUUCGGCAGCUGAUAAAAAAUCUUUCGUCAAGUCAAACAUAUUUGGAGAUAGUAUUUUAUUCGGCCUUGCAAAAAUUCAAAGUGAAAGUUUUGAUACAAAAAGCCUUCGGCUUGGAAUAAAACAUCGUUGGCCUCCUCCAUUUAUAGUAGGGCCACUUUUGUUUUCUUUUGCUACAAAAUAAGAAUAAAUUAUUUUCUUAACCAUUCGGCUUUUUAGGCCGAUGCUUAAGAAAAUAAAGGGGGCAAUAAGAUGGUGCGGACUUAGAAAAACAAGAAAAAACAAGAUGGUGUACUCGGCAGACAAUUUUGGUCAAAUAAUGGUGUAUUUGGCAGACAGUUUUGGUCGAAUGAAUUUGCGAGAGCAUGCAUGACAAUUGUUCGGCAGACAGUUUUGGUCAAAUGAAUUUAUGGGAGCAUGCAUGGUUGCGAAGCUUGCUCAAUUCAGUUUCGAUGUGCGGUUUAAUAUAUAUAUAUAUAUAUAUAUAUAUAUAUAUAUAUAUAUAUAUAUAUGUCAGAAUGACCCAUCACAUGAAACAGAAAGAGAGACGCAUACGGAAAAGACAAAGGAAUAUUCAUGAAGUUAUGGUAGGCUUCCAUAUGGGCUAACAUUUUCGUUUGGUGAUGUAGUGAUCUGUGAAUUCCUAACAGCAUUAUUUGGCCGAAUACAAAUCUUUGGCCGAAUAAAACAUAGUUCGGCCGAAUAGAAUGGGUUAUAUAUAUAUAUAUAGGCUCUACAGCCAGUUCUUCUCGGUCUCGGCCCCAUUUACUCUCGAUCCCAGUAUUUUUGACCGAUACUAGUGUUUUCUCGACCCCGACAGUUGAGAGUUGGAGUAGUUCACGACACUGGCAGAGGGAGGUUAUGACAUUGGCAGAACAUAGGUGAUUUUAAUACCGAGAGACAAAAUUUGUUUCGGCAAUACGACGAAGUGUUGUUGGCUACGAGCAAUUAAUUUCCUUAACCAUUCGGCUUACGAGCCAAAGCUCACGGAAACUGGGGGGCAAUGUUUGGACCUGAUUUUACACAUCGGCCUAAGCAAUCGAGGCCGUUGAGUAAGCAUGGUUCUCAACCGUUGGAUAAGAAAGUUUAGAUAUUAUUGUUAAGAGAUAAUAUUAUGAUUUUUAAUCAUAAUAAUUAUUUUUUUUAUAAGUUAUCCCGGUUUUUUAUGCAAAAUAAAUGGGAUGGAGGCAAGUAGAGUUGUGAUGGGGACGUGAGCUUUGAAUCAGGUUGGUUUGUUUUGCUGGACAUGCAUACAUGGGAUGUAAAGAUAAUGAAGUGAUAGGGGAUAAAUCCAAACAUGCCAAAACGUGUAAUUUGCAAAAGAAUUGUGCAAUAUGGAGAUUCUAUCCUAAUGCAUGGUUUUUUGGGUUUGGUUUUGUGCACGUGGCAUGUGACAAUGGAGAUGAUGGUUUUGCAUGGUGAUGGCAAUAUGGGUUUAAAGGUUUCUCAUGUUUUUUUAAUAAGAAGCCUAGGUGGGUUAGAUCUCUAGUGAGAUGUGAUAAAGCCUAGGUGGGUUAGAUCUCUAGUGAGAUGUGAUAAAGCCUAGGUAGGCUUUAUUUAUCUGAAGGAUAUGUGCGGCGUAUUUGAUACGGUAUCAGGGUUUAUCUGAAGGAUAUGCGCGGCAUAUUUGAUACGGGAUCAAGGUCAAUUCCACAAAAUAGAGUUGCAGUUGGACUCUACAAAAUUAUUUGGCCGCGUCACACAACAUUUGCUCCUAUAAAUACAAAGGUAGUGGCAACGGAAGAAAGACCCCUGCAAAUCAAUACAAAAUUGCCCUGCGCAAAUUCUCACAACUUGUGAUUUUUCUUUUUCCUUUUUCGCUGACACAUCUUCCGUUGGCGUCAACAGCACCGUGGAAGCAACCGGUGAUAUCUUAAGUCGGCAUAGAUAGCUCUGUCACCGUAGAAUCAAUCGGUCUCGCAGUAUCUUCCGUUAGCAUCAACAUCACUGCGGCGAGAACGGUUGAUUACCUAUCCAAGUCUCGGUCGAGAAGGGUUUCUGAACCCUUAUUGGUCGAGGUCAUCUCAUCAGCCUUCUCGGCGAAGUGAGGUGUUACACGUUAUUACGUUCGGCAUAUUGAAAGCCGAAUUUGAUAUUGAACUUCGUAAGAAUAGUAACCUUGUCUUCAGGUUCGAGAGCCCAAGAGGCCGAGACGUGUUCCUUUCUCGGCCGCAAUCGCAAGAUGCAGAAGUCAGCCGCGCACCCAACGCAACAUCAACAAAUUUACUCCUCGGUCGACGAGUUGGCACGCCCCGCAUUCACCGAAGGACGUAGUUAGCUCAUUAAUUAUUCGGCCUGCGCGCCACGUAGGCUUUGUAGUUUUUAGGGUCAACAGUCACAUUUCAGGUGUCGGCUAACACUACUUAUUUUCGGUGUCCACUUGAAUAUAUGGGUCAGGGUGUGUCAUAAUGAACGCAGGCGAGCAUGGAUUCGCAACGGGGGUUCAAAAUCAAGUAGAUCCGAAUUGAAUCUCACAAAAACCCGACUGGAUUAUCAUCGGGAAGACUGUAGGCUCUCGAGGAUGGGUGGUUUCACCAGAAAAUGGUCAAACAAGGCCGGGGACAGGGACGACGCAAAAAUGGCAUCAUUUGGUCCUAGGGUUUCAGAAUAAGAGCAGCUAGGCUCCUUGUGGCUUGCGACGCAGCUUGGCGACUCGGCUUACACGCUUCAGGUCGUGGCUCGCGCGGGAGGUUGCAGCAACCCUAAUUUUCUUCUUUCUUUCUGUUCUCACACAAUCAUUAAUUCACCACAACAACAUAUAAGCAAAAUAAUAUUAUAAUUCGAAAAGCAUAAAAUUGGGUUCAUGCACUAUGUUGAAGAUUUCAUGCAAUUAGAGCUGGAAAAAAAAUCAAAAUUGAAACCGUAUUUUAGAAGUUACUUAGAUUGUAUGAUCAAAAUUUUGAGCUGUUUUGUAGCAGAAAAUAGCCUCUAGAUUCAUAGCGCAACGUCUAGAGUGUGCUGAUAACAUUUUGUUUCAUAUUUUACUAAAAGAAAGGGAAAUGGUGUGGUGAUAGUGGUGGAGAAAAAGACUCGGAAAAAUUGGUGUAUGUUCCCUUGUGCCAAUGCCUUUAUUUAUAGUAAACAGAAAGAAGAAGCAAACUUGCUCACCAAAAACACAUAGUCUAAUAGAAAAAAAAAAUCAUCUAAAUUACAUAGAAAUCCUAAUUCAAAUCUACCAAAAUUUACCGAAUUAUACUACAUCAAUAUUAAAUGUAACAAUAUUGACUAUGAUCCUACAGUUUUAUUUGCCAGUGUAUGUCUUUUAGCUAGCUUUAUAAUAACUUAUCAAUUUGAAUUUUUUGUCCCAACAAGUAAGCUAAUAUAUAUUAAAAAAUUAGUAUGUGUACACACACAAGAGAGCCAUAUAGUCUUUGGUCUUAUUGUCUCAAAAGUCAGAAGAGAAGACCCGAAGAACGAGCACUCCUCCAUAGUCCACAUUUCUCUACGGUCAUAUUCGGCGGACAAAAUUCUAUGCUCCAACGUCUUCGCUCUCCUUUUUUUUUUUUUUUUUUUUUUUUUUUUUUUUUUUUUUUUUUUUUUUUUUUUUUUUUUUUUUUUUUUUUUUUUUUUUUUUUUUUUUUAGCAAAUGAUAUUAUUUAUAUUAAAUGAUUGAGAUAACAUGUCAAAUUUCACACGUAACUAGCUAUAAUAAUGUUAUUUAAAUUCAUCUUUGACGAGAAUUGAAACUAAGACCUUACUUAUAAGUGAAAAUUAAUAUCAUUAACUCGUAGUACUAAAUAACACUUUAAUCUUUAAAAUUUACAAUCAAACUAGAUUUUUUUUCUCCUUUCUAUAUCCCGUGUUCCAAUUUCCACAUCCACACUUACAAAGUCGUACACGAUGACAUAGCACCAUACCCAUAUAUGGCAUUUGAUGUUUCUAGUCCUCGACUAACAUGAAACGUACAGUCGAUUCUUUCCCUUAGUCCCACUAGUCACAUGUGAUUCCUAUUCUUUUAUAAACAACUUUUUUUUAUUUAUUUUUUUUCAGCCAAAGAAGUUAAUUAAAAUUUUCAAACUGAAAAAUUAUUUAAUCAAUUACAAUAGCAUAAUAUUCAAACUGGAAUUUUUUUUUUUUUAGAGAAUGAUUUUCUACUCAAGAGGUGUGGGGAUUGAACCAUGCCACAUAAGGGGUUAGCUCUUAACUAAAUAUCAAACUCAACUCGAAUAUAAUACAUCAUCGCGAUCCAUAUGAGCAAAACCUGAGACGACUCACUUGAAAAUAGAGAUAAUUAUCACUAAAUCAUAGUACUAGCUGGUCACUUUAAUACAGUACUCACACUUGUAGGCUUUGGCUACACUAGCAUCAAUUAACUCUUGAUAUAACGUAAUUUUACUUCUUAAUAUUAUUCCCAAUUGAUUAACAAAACUACUAUAACAAAAACAAAUAAUAUAACUAAAAUAUGGACUUACGAAAAAUAAAAGAAAAUGAUUUUCGUACAAUUUUCCUCACUCUACGCAUCUCUAUUUAUUUUAAUCUAUCGAUUCUCAUUUAUUUCAUUUAAUUCAAAUACUAGAAAUAAAGUGGCAUUAAGACUAAGAAGGUACAAAUCCCAUCAGCUCAUGGGCAUUAGUGGAAUUUCGCCCUUCUUUAACUGCAUUGUCCCUCCAUAUGCAAGUUAAUUUCACGCGGAUACAAACCCAAUACUUAACUAAGCAACAACAGGCCCACAUUUGACCAACAACUAAUUUAGUCGUAUUUACAUACACACCCCUGUCCCACCACCACCAAGUCAAAACGACGACGUCACCUUCGUCCUCAAAAACUCCUCCAACCUCCACUUCCUUCCAAAACACAACAAACUCAAACCUCUCCGUCUGAGAAACUCUGGAGCACCAAACAAUCAACUCGCCACUAAAAAUGGGGAGGGAGCGGGACCAUCUCUACAUCACCGUUCCCAACCUCUUCCGCUGCCCCAUCUCCAUGGACGUCAUGCGCUCCCCCGUCAGCCUCUGCACCGGCGUCACCUACGACCGCGCCAGCAUCCAGCACUGGCUCGAAUCCGGCCACGACACCUGCCCCGCCACCAUGCAGAUCCUCCAGUCCAAAGACGUCAUCCCCAACCUCACCCUCCGCCGUCUCAUCAACCUCUGGGCCCAGUCCCACGGCCCUUCCUCGCCGGCCUCCUCUCCCUCUCUCUCCUCCCAGCACCUCGCCUCCCUCGUUCAAUUUCUCCGCAAUGAGAACGAGACUGAGAAAUUCAGCCAAAAUAUCGUAAACUCAUUGUCGAAGACUGCCGAUUUCGCGAGGGUCGGCGAGGAGAACCGGAGGUUUGUGGCGAAUUUCGACGGCUUCGUCUCCGCCAUUGUGGGGAUUCUGAACAGAGAAGGCGUCGAAAUCGAAGUUCUCGAAUCGGUAAUUAAGGUUUUGGAUUCGAUUUUGCCUCAAAGCGGAGUCAACGAGCAAUUGAGCCGAUUUAUUGCGAAGAGCAACGGCAAUUACCUCGCUUCAAUUCGAUUGGUACUGCAGAAAGGAAGCCUGAGCUCGAAGAUCGAAUCCGUCAAGGUUUUGGAUUCGAUCGCGCUCGACGCCGAGUCGAAACGAUUAAUCGCGGAGAAGGAAGGCUUAUUGUCCGUAUUCAACGAUCUGUUGAGCUUGGAAACGUGUCAGGACCUAUACGGCGCCGUUUUCUCAUGCUUAGCAUCAUUGUCCGUGAAUCGGUCGAUUAAAGCCGAGCUCGUCCGGUUCGGACUAGUCCGAGUUGUAACGUCAACGCUGCUAAAGCCGGACACUAGCACUACCCUUGCGGAGAAGUGUUUGAAGCUGUUAUCCACCAUUGCCACGUGCGCCGAGGGCCGGUCGGCGAUCAGCGGGGAGGAGAAGUGCGCGGAGGCGGUGGCGGAGAGGCUGAUGAAGGUGUCGAGGGGGGCGACGGAGGACGGCGUGGCGGUGCUGUGGAGCGUGUGCUGCAUGUUGGGGGACAAGAGGGCGAGGGAGAGCGUGGCGGGAGGAAAUGUGGUGGCGAAGGUGUUGUUGGUGAUGCAGAGUGGGUAUGGAGAGGGGCAUUUUGUGAGGAGGAUGUGUGGGGAUUUGGUCAAAGUUUUGAGUGUUGGGUUAGGGUUGGGGUUGAGGUAUGACACCAAGACUAUACAUAUCAUGCCUUGUUAGAAAUUGUUCAUGAUGAUAAUCUUGCUCAUUUAUUUUUUUUUUGGAAAUUGUGAAUUUGGAUAAAAAAUUUUAUAGAAACAAAAAGGAAAAUUCUUUUUAGUUUUGUAGUCAUUGAUCAUCAUUAUGUGAUUGAUGUUGUAUGAUUAGUAGAGAUAUUUUUGUGUGCUGUGAACAUGACCCGGUAUAUUAAGAAUAGUAUUACAAUUCGUUGGAAACUUUAAAAAAAAAAUUCCAAGAAAUUGUAUGUGCUGUGUUUCCGGAAAAAUUUCUUGGGUUUGUGGGGAUGUGAAUAUGCAAAAUUAUGUUGAUAAGAUGGCUUAAGUGAUUAAAAGAAUGAAGAAAUAAACAACUUUUUGUUAAUCUCAUGUUAAUCUUCUUUUUUGAUUUGUUGUUUCUUUUAUUGUUAAUUCAGAAAAGUUUCAUGAUGAAUUUGUUUGGACUUUGAAAAAGGAUUAGGGACAAGAAUCCAAUCCAUCGUAAAAGGGGCAAGUUUUGAUAUGAUUUGCAAGUUAUAACUUGUUAAGUAAGAGAACGUAAGGAGAUCUAUUGUAUACUUGGGUAAAUUUAAUUGGUCUUAAGUUCAAAUUUAUUUCUAAGUAAUUUUGGAGUAAUUGUGAUCAAAUAGUUGUAUGCUUUUUUUUAGAGUGGACUUACAAGUCACAGUUGUAUUGCCUCAACUACGUUUUAUACCAAUAAUACAAUACCAUGCAGAGAAAUUUACACAUAAUGUUGUAUAUUUGGCAUGAGACUAUCUUAGUGAAAAUGUAUCCAUGCCAUAGAAGUCGUCCUCUCUUUUGUGGGUGAGGUAGUUCUGGGCAAUGAACCUGUAUGAAAAAAUAUGAGUUGUUGAGCUAUGCACGAGUGUCAAACGUAACAUGGCUUAUUUUCGUAUCCCUGGUAAACAAACUACAAAAUCGUUGCUCUUAGAACAGUAUGUGUUUAAUUUCAAAAACGAGACAAAAAUGAUUGUAAAGAAAAAACACUAAAUAAGGAGACAAAUUCAGGCUAGUUUGCGUUCGAAUUUUACAGGGUAAGGCAACAACUUGGCUGUAGUAGGCAUCUGGUUUGCAAAAAUCCAGCAGAAAACAAUUGUAUGGACAACAAAUUGCGAUGCUCCGAUGCGACUCUCUAACAAUGUAAAGCUGUUUUGAAGUGGUGAAGGAACAAGGGUCAUGGCGCCAGAUAACCGAGUUGUAUCAGCAACCAUUUUUAUGAGCCUGCUGCCUCGGCUUCCAUGCUCGAUUCUGGUAACUUUGUCAUCUACAACUCGGACUCAAAUAUCAUUUGGCAGAGUUUUGAUACUCCAACCGAUACCAUUGUAUCUGGCCAGCGAUUGCUGGCUAGAAAGAAGCUUGUCUCCAGCAUCUCCGACACAAAUCAUGCAAGCGGAAGAUUUAGACCUUCAAUGUAGCGUGAUGGGAACCUAGAGAUGUACCUGGAGUGUCCAAUUAUAUUACAACCUGAUUGAUCGGUAUGCUUACUCAAAUAGUGGGACGUACAGGGCUGGAGACAAUGAGUCACUCAACGUUGAUCACAAUGGACAGUUAUAUCUCCUCAGUUACAAUAUAAGGAACGCUACGAAUCAGAAAGAGCUGUUUGACACACACACGUAUGUACCACAUGAUGAUUGACUUUGAUUGUAUUACUCCAGUUAUACUUCCAUACUAUUUAUAUUUAAUUUUAAAUUUUAAAUGAUUUUUAACCGCACGAUAUACAUGAACGGACAUAAUUAUGGGAUCCUCCAAAUUCCUGAGAAAAGGACGUCGAACAAGAAUCUUUGGUUGCUCCAUUGUCUCAUUUGACGGACUGAAAUAACGGAGCUAACAAACUGUAAGUACAAAGGACGAAAGUGAAAAGAAAAAGGCUAAAGGGAGGUAAGUGAUAAUUCGAUUUAAACUAACGGGACCAUGAGUGCAAUCUGACUCGCUCCUUAACUUGGAAAAGCCAACCAGGGCGUUCCAAGUGUGAUGAUGAACACGUGCCGAAACACCAUUGGAUUCUGGAGGGGAACCAGUGAGGCCUCCCGCAGCAAAGCCACACAAAAUGAUACACAAGCGAUCUGAGUCGUCGGCGAGGAUCCUUUUCCGUGAAAAAUCGAUCGAAGAAGCAAAGGCAGGUCACUGAAUAAAGAAAUAAAAACACAGAAGCUGAAGCUGUUGCGGGAAAAAGCUUGACCAAAUCAGGGUUCCCGAAUUCGAAUCGCCAACGAGGUUAACCAGAUUAGGGUUUUAACAAAAUUUUUAAGUUACUUUUACCAUGUUGUAAUUGCUUAAUUUUUUUUGCUGAAAUUCAGAAAUUUGCAGGAAAACUGAAAUGGGGGACGGCCUAUGGAACCGCCAGCAGCAGCAGCAGCAGCAGCAUCAACUGGGUCCCUCUGGCGGCGUGCAUAAACGACCUCGUUCCGACUACGGUAACUCCUCUGUGGCCAUUUCUCAUAGUUUUUUUCUUUAAUUAGAUGAAAUUGCGAUUGCAUUCGUUUGCAUUAUAGAUUUAGUUGUCAAACCAUUUAAUUUCUGACUUCUUGUUUAUAAUUCGAGCGAUAUUAUAAUCUAAUCGAAACUAUGGGGAGAGGGGGAUUCGAACUUGGGUGCAGAUGGGGAGCACACUGCUCGAGCCAACUUAGCUAGGCCAAAGUCUGCUUCUUCGUGUUAUAAGUGUUUUUACUUUAGUGGUUCUUGAUGGGUUUCGGGUUUCAAUGUAAAUUAUGUUUCAAAGUGGUGAAAUUUAUGUGAAGGGUCAAGGGUAUCUAGACAAAGGAUUCCAGUUCAGUUGUCUGAUGACUCUGCUUGUAUGUAUCUCCCCUUACUCUAGUAGAUAUGCAGAUUCUGGUUUUGUAGCUAGGUGUCUCUUUUCUUUUCUUUUAUAAAAAUUACAAUAAAUGUUUUGCUUCCAUAGUUCCAUGUGUACUCUUACAUCUUCGGGGUCUUCUUGAAGCAUAUAAUAUAGUCUUAGCCUAUCUGUUCCACUUACUACAAUUGCGAUCAACACUCAUACUCGUAUGAUUCCAUAUAAUAAUGUAUCUUCCACGAAAGCUUUACUAAGCAUAUGAUUUCUGUUAUUAUUUUCUUUGUAACCAGAUCACAGUUUUUGGCCUUCAUGUUUCCUUCGGUCCAUUGUUAAUGAUAUUAUUUACUGGAUUUCAUAUUUAGAGCAACUUUUGAAUGAUUUCCACAUUAGCGGUAGUUUUAGAAGUUACUGGUUGUUAUUAAGUUAUGUUCAAGGGGGGAAAACCUUGUUCGGUGUGUUUGCUAAGACCUGUGUGAAAAUGGAAACUACUACAAAAUCAUUCAGGUUUCCAAUUACAUUGCAAGGUACUUAAGAAUGGAUCUUUUCCUGAACCCAACCAAACCCCAAACCUCUGAAAUUAUCAAGUAGAUUCUUUCCUUUUAGUGCGGUCAGUCUUCCAAUCUAAUACUAUUCUUCAAUAAUUAUGGUAAUAAGAUCCUCCAUACAUAUUUAUAAUGCAAUUAUGUUUAUAUACAAAUUGAUGCAUAUUAUUGGUAUACAUUUUGAUAUAACCAAAUUCCCCUUUUUUUUCAUUUAGUUAUUUGUUUGCUGAGUUGUUCUUGUUAUAACUUCUUAGUCACUGAUCAAAAGCCUAGACUUGUAUAUUGUAUGUAGAUGUUUUGAUUGGUAUGUUUUCUUUGUACUUUUGAACAUUGGUGGCAGUUUUACUUGUUCAAAUACCACCUAGUUGUUAGUAGUGAUAUUGUUCAUUCCGCACCUUGGGUCUAACUCUGCACAUUAAAGAGUAGGUUUUUACCUUGUUAAUUGACGGGGCAUACUCUACUUCCACCUCAUGCUUCUCAAUUGGUUUCUUGAUUUAAGUUCUUCCAUCUGCUUUUUUAUUUUUUAUGCCUUUUCUCUUGUUCUAUAGUUGUAAUAUAUACAGCUGAAUUAGGGUCUAUUUGUUAAUGUUUUCUCAAUGUUGUGCCUUUAAAUAUAGGUAAAUUAUGCGCUUGGUGCAUUAAGUUUGUUAAACAUGGGAAACAUAUUCUGUAAAAUGAUCUCAACUUUUGUUCUUCAAGUUAGGAAACAACCAUUCCACUAUUUAUGUUGUUUUCAGGGGGAUUGUGAAACAUGGUGAGUAGUUAGAAACAAAAAAAGGAACCUUUCAACUGGAAUAAAUGUUUCUGUCAUCCUCAGAGGCUCUGUUGUUGGUCCUCACUUUUCACGUAUAUCUGCUCUCAAAAACCUAUACCAAAAAACCAAACACCCUAUCGCCUCUCUCUUCCUUUCUUUCUCCAUCUCUCUUUGCCUCCUCAUCUCUCCCACUUUCUCUCUACACCCUCAAAACCUGCACUCCAGCCCCACUCCGAACGCCUGACCCAUUCAUCGAAACCAAUAUGUGGAACCUCUUCUCAACCUCCCCCGCCCCCGCCCCCGCAAUGUUGUCGUCUCGUCUCUGAUUUGAAAACAUUUGGUUGUGGGUUGUUUUCAAUAUAAUAAGUUGGACGUGAAUAAUUGUUAGUGAUAAAUUUGGAUGGUAGAGUUUGGUAUUAUUUCAAUUUAAACUGGAGUGGUCAAGAAUUUGGUAGAACUUGUAAAAUGGAGAAACUGAAGAUGGUGAAUCAGACUUGGUUUCAGUUUAAACGGGGAUAGUUAUACCGUACUUGUAUGGGAUAUAGAGCGAUGUUGGAUGCAGCUUUAUUUUAUUGUAUCGGUUUUGUUUUGGUGUCGGAAUGGUUAUACUGUACUUGUAUCUGUUUCUUUAUCUCGUUUUGGUGUUGCUUUAUUUUUUUAUUGCUUUUAAAUCUGAAAUGGUUAUACUGCACGUGUAUUGGAUAUAGGUCUGAUGUUGGAUGUUUAUUGAUAUGAAUGUUCCAUUUAAUAGGGCUCUAACUCACAAUGGUUUUGGUUAGCUUUGAUGCGGGCAUGGGAUAAAUCAAUUUCACUAUUGUGCCGUUUAAAAGGGCUCUUAACUCACAAUGUUUUAAUAUAUUUGUUUGGUUCAUUGAUACGUCUUGUCAAAAUGUGUUUACAUUAGUUACGUGUUUGAACUUUGAUUAUAAUAUUUAGUUGAAAAUAGUUUUUCAAAAUAUUGCUGCCUAAUACAAAUUCAGUAAUUUAAUUUUUUUCUCAUACUAGCACUGAACACAUUUUCACUGUUUUUGUUUUUAGAAACAUUUUUUCAAACUAUUCUACCAGAUGCAUUAUCUAAUGUUAAAUUACAAGAAUGUUAUAUCAUUUUCAUUUUCUGAAAGGUUUUUAUGCAGAUGGUUUUGUAAAACAUCACCUGAUAGGCUCUUACUUUUCUGUAUUGUCAACCUGUCUUCAGGUCAAGAGAUGCAUGGUUAUUUUGCGCGAGAGGAUGAUCUUGGUGGUCCUAGGACUGUAAAGGAUAACAGAUCAAUCGGAUCAGCAUAUGACCGUUAUCUUCAGAAUGCGGUGACUUUCUUAAGCAUUUGAAACUAUGCCUAUUAUUAUUUGUGUUACAUCUCUCUGUUUCUGUACUAAAACAUUUGUCCUACUUGCUUCUAAAGGAAAUGGCUUCGUACACUUCUGGAGAAGCGAGUACUUUUGGUGGAGCUGGAAUGGGAAGGGCUGUUGGUGGUGGAAUGACAGGUCCUCCAAUGGCUGAUCAUUCUAUGAGGGGCCGUCCUGGAGCUAUGUCUUCUGAUGUACUAACAAAUGGUCGAAAUAUGAAUCUUGCUAAUCAGCUCCCAGUUGAUUCAAUGCCUAGGCCUGGACGUGAAACAGUUCCUUUACCUCUGGAUGCAUCCAGCACUUUAUAUGUUGAAGGACUUCCUCCUGACAGCACAAGGAGGGAAGUAGCUCGUAUCCUUUAUGAUGCUUAAGAAUUAUUGCAUAUUGCUUUCCAAUCUUAUUGUUUAACUCAAUAGUUUUUCCAUCGCUCCUCCUUUACAUAACUCUUAAGAUAUCUUUCGUCCUUUUGUGGGAUACAAAGCAGUGAGGCUUGUGAGCAAAGAGUCCAAACACGUAUGUGGGGGUGGAUUAUUGUAAACAAUUACUUUUCUUAGUCAUUCUGUUUUUCUUGAUCACUCUGACUUGAGAUUGUCGUUGUGCUACUUGGUUCGACUCUUGGGAAGUUUAUAAUCUUUCUUCACACUAAUAUUCCGGUUUGUCCAUAAUGCAGCGUGGCGGGGAUCCUCUUAUUCUUUGUUUUGUGGAUUUUGAAAAUCCAGCCUGUGCAGCAACUGCUCUGAGUGCCUUGCAAGGUGAUUGCUUUUUAUUGUCAUCAACCUUGGUGACUAUCAGUGUCAAAGAAAGCUUAAUUCUUUCUUUCUGUUUUUAUUUGUUUCCUUUAUAGCUUCACAAGUGUUAUUUUCUAUCAUACCUUAUUCAAUCAUGUAAAGGGUAAAUUUAUGUUAAAAUUCUUCCAUGCAUAGUAGGUGUAAAGAGGUUGAGGCAGUUCAUAAAAAUGUUAUAGAUGGCUUCUUGUGAUUUAAUAUUGGAGUUCAUAAUAUCUCUACACUACAUAUCGUGUAGAACUAGCUGGAUUGCUCAUUAUUUUCCCAUGUUUGUUGUUUUUGAAAAGCUGGAAGAUGCUGACAUUUGUGUUGCUGGAAGAUGCUGACAUUCAUGUAAUUCCAUGCAUAGUGUUUUAGUAUGUGUAAAGACGUUGAGGCAGUUGAAAAAAAAAAUGUUAUAGAUGGUUUCUUGUGAUUUAAGAUUGAAGUCCAUAAUAUCUCUACACUCCCGAUUGUGUAGAACUAGUAUUGCUCAUUAUAUUUUCCCGUGCUCGCGGUUUUUGAAACGCUGGAAGAUGCUUACAUUUGUGUUGCGUUUGCAGGUUAUGAAAUGGAUGAACAUGCUCCUGAUUCUAAUUACUUGCGGCUGCAGUUUUCUCGGUUCCCUGGUCCUAGGUCUGGACCUGGCCGUAACAAGAGGUGAUAGGCAUUAGGUGAUGAGAAAUAUCUGUUUUUGAUGUAAUCAAGAUUGCAUUUGCUUUUAAUACAUUCCAUAUAUAUAUAUAUAUAUAUAUAUAUAUAUGUAUUGCUCAGGCUUGGGCACACACCAACUGUAAGCACUUCUGAUGCACAUUGUUGUUUCGAGGUAGUGAAUCAGAAACAGUUUUAUAGUUGUGCAAUUAAACAGAGAUCUGAUUUUGCACGUCCAUGGUCUACAAAAUUUGUAAGUGUUUUUAGAAGUGGCAAGUUUCUCAGGCACAAACCCUUUAAAAACUAGUGUGUUUUUUUAGCAUGGAUUUGCAGGCUUCUGUUACAUAUAUCAUAUGGUAAGUGAUUUCCGCUCGCUUUUUCUCCUUGUACAACUCCUUUUUUCCUAGUUUAAGGGUUGGAUAAAUCAAAUCAAAGGAGAAUAAGUGGAAAGAAACAUAAGGUGAAUGCAGGAGGAGAAAAUGGGAACGUGCCGAUGACUACCGAUCAAACUCGUCUUUUCUUGUAACUUCCAACUGCAUGGAGAAAAGCAAGACACUGCGUGAUGAGAAUGGGCAUUGCAUGGUGUCAUGUCUUGUGGUGUUAGAAAUUUGAUCCGAGUCCUUCCCAUUUGGACUACAGUUAAGGACAGGCUCUACUAUGUCCUCCCAAUGCUAAGCACUAGGUAGUGGGCUGCCGACUAGUCUAUGUGCCACUGUACAUAUCACAUGGGCUUUCAACCCAUAAUCCUAUCCUGCUAGAGCUUCCCCCUACCCUUCUUGAAAUUAGUAUACCGUCAGGUAUGUUGCUGUCUCUCAUAUCACGUGACUAAUGAUUCGUUUGGAAUUACUUCUUUCAGAAACACUUAUACUACAAGUGUUUUUAUUGUAGACACGUUAAAUCUUUACAAACAAUCCAAGUGUUCAUUGAAAAAUAUUUGAAAGUGCUUCUUGAAAAAGCAUUUGGCAAGUGCUCCUCUAAAGAUAGUUUAUACGAGUCAAAAGAAUUUCUAAUAUUUUAUCUUUAUGCCAAUCGCAACAGAACACAUUUAGCUUUUCCAGAAUCAAUCCUAAACUAGUUCUAAGCAAAGAAAGGGCAAUAUAACAUAAGGACAACGAAGAAUCUCUCUAACAUUAAAGGUUAUGUUUGUUCGGUCACUAGACUCAAACAAAAGAGAAAAGUAGAAGUGGGCAAUAAAUUGGUUUUCGAUUACCAUCAAAUUGGCACAACAUUCGGCAUUGUUUCGCAAAAGACUGCUUUUUUUUCUUAGCAUUAGUUUUACACACACUCUAGUGUGUGGUAAAAACAAGCUAGGGUUUGGUUGGAGAACAAGUCUGAGCAGUUACAUGCCAUGUGGGCUGGAGGGUUUCGUUUGGUGCCAUUACUCUUUUUUCUUGUUCUAUCAUCCUUGUCGAACUGGAAGAGAAAAAGGAGGGGAAAAGGGAGUUUAGGGCAAAAAGGAUACUGAGUUUAUAAACCAGGAAAUGUCUAAGCAAUUUGUUUGUGCCAACGUGACUGUUAUCUAAAUAUAGCGUACUUGUGGUAUAAAAGAAAAAGGCAAAAAGGGUAACUGUAAAUAGUUGUUGUACUUAAGUGUAAAUUGUCCCACAACUUGUCCAGGGACCAGUGCAUAUAAGUUGUAGCUGCAAGUGCAAGGAGCAACCUCUGGAUUAGAUAGACGGAUGGACUUGGUUUGGUAUGAUUCCAAGUCGUCGUUGAUGUUUCUUCUUCUUUGUGGCCCAGCCACCCAGGACUAUAGUCCUUAUUUGGUAGGUAUUUAUUGCAAGGCUAACUAUAGGAUUGGAGAUAGACAAAGGGAGAUGGGACAUGGAGAAUGGUUUGCCAAGUUUGUUUAGAAUGGAUCGGGAUCAAUGCCCGUUGGAUCCCUAGUAAUUGAAUAUUAGUUAAAGAUUCAACGUCUAUGAAUCUCGGUCUAUGUUAUGAACUGUUUUUACAAUUUUCGUUCAUUGUGUAUCACGUAAUAUGCAUAAUGUUAGACAAUCCACUUGUUUUAUUUGAGACAACUGUAUUUGAUGCACUUCCUAAUUUCUGUUUUCUGACUUGCUUCAAUCUACAUUCUCUUGAUAUUUUUUUUUCCAUUUUACUCGGUUUUAUGAUAGUGAGAACAUUCAACAUGGCCUCUUCUUCCUCAAGUUGCUUCUUUGUGAUACGUAUAUCUGUUUUUGUACUAAAACAUGUAUCCUACUUGCUUUUAAAGGAAAUGCCUUCGUACACUUUUGGAGAAGCGAGUACUUUUGGUGGAGCUGGAAUGGGAAAGGCUGUUGGUGGUGAAAUGACAGGUCCUCCAAUGGCAUGAUCAUUCUAUGAGGGCCAGUCCUGGAGCUAUGUCUUCUGAUCUAUUAACAUAUGGUCGAAAUAUGAAUCUUAUUAAUCAGCUCCCAGUUGAUGCAAUGCCUAGGCGUGGACGUGAAACAGUUCCUUUACCUCUGGAUGCAUCCAGCACUUUAUAUGUUGAAGGACUUCCUCCUGACAGCACAAUGAGGGAAGUAGCUCGUAUCCUUUAUGAUCCUUCUAUGAUGCCUAAGAAUUAUUGCAUAUUGCUUUCCAAUCUUAUUGUUUUACUCAAUAAUUUUUCAAUCGCUCAUCCUUUACAUUACUCUUUAAGAUAUCUUUCGUCAUUUUGUGGGAUACAAAGCAGUGAGGCUUGUGAACGAAGAGUCAGGUUUGUCCAUAAUGCAGCGUGGCGGGGAUCCUCUUAUUCUUUGUUUUGUGGAUUUUGAAAAUCCAACCCAUGCAGCAACUGCUCUGAGUGCCUUGCAAGGUCAUUGCCUUUUUCUUUUCAUCAACCUUGGUGACUAUCAGUGUCAAAGAAAGCUUAAUUCUUCGUUCUGUUUUUAUUUGUCUCUUUAAAGGUUUGUAAAUUUUUUUUCUAUCGACCUUAUUCAACCAUGUAAAUGGAAAAUUUAUGUUAAAAUUCUUCCAUGCAUAGUAGGUACAAAGUGGUUGAGAUAGUUCACAAAAAUGUUAUGGAUGGCUUCUUGUGAUUUAAUAUUGGAGUCCAUAAUAUCUCUACACUCCAGAUCGCGUAGAACUAACUAGAUUGCUCAUUAUUUUCCCGAGCUUGUUGUUUUUGAAACGCUGGACGAUGCUGACAUUUGUGUUGCGUUCGCAGGUUAUGAAAUGGAUGAACAGGCUCCUGAUUCUAAUUACUUGCGGCUGCAGUUUUAUCAGUUCCCGGAUCCCAGGUCAAGACCUGGCCGUAACAAGGGGUGAUAGGCAUUAGGUGAUGAGAAACAUCCGUGUUGAUGUAAUCAAGAUUGCAUUUGCUCUUAUACAUUAUAUAUAUUGCUCAGGCUUGGGCACACACUAAUUGUAAGCACUUCUGAUGCACAUUGUUGUUCUAGGUAGUGAAAUCAGAAACAGUUUUAUAGUUGUGUUGAACGAUCUGAUUUUGCACGUCCAUGGUCUACAAUUUACUCAAGGAAUGUUUUAAUUCUGAAUUGAGAUUGUACUGUGCAUAGACUACCGCAAAAUUAGUACAGAGAUAGUUUCCCUAUAGAUUGUUUUCAUAUACUAGAGGACUUCCAUGGCCAGGGUAUCUUGCCACCAUAUUGUCCCCGUACAUUUUCCCUCCAUAUUAGUUAUAUAUUUAUCUGGACAUUCUAACCUAAUGAAGUCCUACAAUCAUCAUAACUCAUUUUACUUAGCUCAUGCUCCUUACAAUAUUUGAUGAACUCACAUAAGAAACUCAUAGAAAUUUGUUCCCAGUCAUUACCUUUGGACUGCAGUUGAAGCUUAUGAUACAUCCUCCCAAUGCUAAGCACUAGCUAGUGGGUUGUCGACUAAUCUAUGCCACCGUACACAUCGCAGGGGCUUUGAACUCUGUCUCAAUUAUUGUAAAGACGUUAGCCUCUUCAAUGAAAGAACCCAUAGUCCUAUGCUGCUAGAGCUCCCCCCACCCUUCUUGGAAUUAAUAUAGUGUUAGGACAUAUCGCUCUAUUUCUCACAUCACGUGACUAAUGAUUUCUUUGAAGUUACUUCUUUAGGAAACACUUAUACUACAAGUGCUUUUAUUAUAUAGAAUCUUUAUAAGCAAUCCAAGUGUUCAUUGAAAACGUAUUUGAAAGUGCUUCUUGAAAAAGCAUUUGGCAAGUGCUUCUUGAAAAAGCAUUUGGCAAGUGCUUCUAUAAAAGAGCUUAUUGGGUCAAAAGAAUUUCUAAGUUUUUUUUUCUGCCAAGCACAACAGAAUACACAUUUUAGCUUUUUCCAGAACCAAUCCCAGACAAGUUCUAAGCAAAGAAAGGGCGAUACAGCCUGAAGACAACGGAGAAUUUCCCUGACGUUAAAGGUUUUGUUUGUUCGGUCACUAAACCCAAAAAAAUAGAAAACUUGAAGUGGGCAAUGAAUUGGUUUUCGAUUUCCAUUAAAUUGGCACAACAUUCGGCAUUGUUAUGCAAAAAUAUACUUUUUUCUUAUCAUUAGUUUUACACACACUCUAGUCUGUGGUAUAAAAUGAGCUAGGGUUUGGUUGGAGAACAAGUCUACGUGGUAUCAUCACUUACAUUACAUGCCAUGUGGGCUGGAGGGUUUCAUUUGGUGCCAUUACUCCUUUUUCUGUUCUAUAAUCAUUUUGGAACUGGAAGAGAAAGUGGAGGGGAAAAGGUAGUUUAGGGCAAAAAUUUUCCAAUCAAUUUUUUGGCAGUGUGACUGUUUUCGAAAUAUAGAGUAGUUGUGGCAAAAAAGAAAAAGGAAAGGGGUAAUUGUACAUACACAUUGUUCCAAAGGGUCAGUUGUCCCACAACUUGUCAAGGGACCAGAGCAUUAAGUUGUAGCUGCAAGUGCAAGGAGAAAGUUGUGGAUUAGAUAGACCAAUGGAUUUGGUUUGGUUUAAUUCCAAGUCAUCGUCGUUUCUUCUUCUAUGUGGCCCAGCCGCCCAGGACUUUAGUCCUUAUUUGGCAGGUACUUAUUACAAGGUUAGAUAAAGGGAGAUGAUACAUGGAGAACGGUUUGCCAAGUUUGUUAGAGUGGAUCCGGAUCCAUGAGUGUUGGAUCUCUAGUAAUUGAAUCUUUAGUUAAAGAUUCAAUGUCUCAACGAUCUAUGCUAUACAUUUGUCUUUACGAAUUUUCAUUCAUUGUGUAUUACAUAAUAUUCUUGACCCUCUUAUAUGUGACUUCGGCCGACUUCUAUCACCCGAUAUCGUUGUGUAAUAACUUGAUGAGAUAGCCAAUGCUUAGGUCAUCUUCAAUGGAGAUGGCUAAAGGUCAAAAAGCUAAAAAAUAGUAUGAUUUGUUCAAAAACUCAUCUCCAACCAAUGUCAGAGCUAUAAUUAUAUGGAGCCCACCAUGCCAUUAUUUGGCUAGUGCCCCUUUCUUAGCCCCUUUUUGGGGCCUAGCUCCUCGAUUAUGCCAUCUGCAAUGAAGAGGGCUAAAUGUCUAAAAGCCAAAAAAUGACAUGAUUUACCCAAAAACUCAUCUCCAACCAAUAGCUAGGUUAUAAUUCUAUGGAUUCAACAGUUAGAUUUGGAAACAUCCAAUGUUAGUUUAAUUAAAUUAAAGUAUAAACUUAAAACUAAUAAAUUAUUAGGGAGCCUAUGUUUUAGCCCUUUCGGUUGGAGAUGGUAUAUGAGUAUGGCCGACACUAUUCAUUUAAAAAUAAUUUUUUUGUUGGGUUAUAAUUUUGGAUGAGGCUAUGUCUAGCCCUUUUGGUUGGAGAUGACCUUACAAUGAUUAAUUCAAAUUCAAUGGUUAAAUUUGAAAAUAUCCAACAAAACAUCCAACAGUAGUUUAAUUAAAUUAAUCAAUAAUUUUAAGUAUAAACUCAGAACUAAUAAAUUAUUGAGGGAGUUAUGUUUAGCCUUUUCGGUUGGAAAUGAUAUAUGAGUAUGGCCUAAUACUGUUUAUUAAAAAAAAAAUCUUUAGUUAUCUCUGCUAAUCAAUAAAACACUCAUUGUCAACCAAAAUCCUAUGAAAUUACCAGUUUAACCUUCUAAUUAAAACAAAACAUGAAUAAGAAAUAUGGGGCGGAAAUUUAAUUUUACACAAACAAAAUUUGUUGUUUUUUUUUUUCAAAACUUCAUCUAUAUAUAAUUCUAACAUAUCUCUAAUUAUAAAAUAAAUAAAAAAUAAAAAUAAAAACUUCCUACUCCCACAUUCUCUAUCACUCCCUUCCUCUCUUCUUUUAUUUUAAAACAAAAAAAAAAAUUUCACAUACUUUAUAUAUGCCCAUAUGCUAGUAAUUAUAAACGAAACUAUAUUUAACUAUUUCGUUGAAAAUGACCGUACGAGUAUGUAAAUUUUGAAAUGUGAGUUGUCGUUCACUACGCAAGCAAAGAUCGAAAGCCUUCAUGUACCGAGGGGUCCCACUCCUUGAAUCAGAAUAAAAGUGCUUUGAAAAAGUCCCUUUAAUUAUGUCCAAGUUUGGAUAAAAUUUGUCCAUGCAUGGCAUGCACUCACUGACUGAUCUCGUCGUCCUGAAGGGUAAGAGAGGUAAAUUCCAGAAUAACCCACGAGGCACUGUAUGAAGCCUGUCAAUUACAUCAACUCAUCAAGCUUUCAAUCUUUUCAUGGCAUGCCUAACUUCUGUGAAAUAUGCUCAACAUUUAACAUUUUGUAAACCAAAAAGAGAGUAAGAGAGAGAUGAUUGAAGUAAUAAAGUAAAAGCGAAAUGCAUGCAUUGAUAAAAGGAAAUUUUAACAAAAAAAAUUUCGGUACUGUUUACUUUAACAAAAAAUUAUAUUUUUACAUUAAAAAGUCAAUUCUAAUACUAUUCAUUUUACCCUUUAUUUGUUCUUUAUUGUUAAAAAUCAAAUUUUUCAAUCCAUUUUUAUUAGUUUUCCUUUGAUAAAAGGAGAAAGAUGCAUGGAGAACUGGUUUUUUAUUUUAUUAUUAUUUUUUUUACAAACAAUAAUAUUAGAGUGGAUUAAGUUAUUAGCUGUUAGCGAGAAGAGGAUCAAUAAUAAUCAAACUAGCACCCGGAUGUAUAAGCAUAAUUGUUUUCUAAAAUUGCAAUAAAACGUCACUUUCCAUAUAUAUAUAUAUAAAAAAAAAAAACUUAUUGUUCCUUGUAUGAUGGAUUGCAAUCUCAAUAUCGUUCUUAAUGGAACGGCCACAAUUAGUUGUUCAGGACAUAAACAAUAUGUAUUGUCUUUAUAUUUAGGAAAUUGGCUCUGUUAGCCUUAUUACAAACCCAACAAUUAAAAAUACUCCCAAAUUAUAAUCUCUAUUAGCCCUCUUUUCCUUAAAUACCACUAACUUGAAAGAUGAACUGUUAUUCUAUGUCUCGACGUUGGAUCUCGAUGGCAUCCAAAAGGGCCUCUCAACUCCCUUCCGACUGUAUCUCGACUGAAUCACGACGGCAUCUCAACGGCACAGAACUGAAUUACCCUUAUAUUUAUGAGUUGAUCAGACACUCCAAUUAAAUAAAAAUAACUAUAAUUAUGUCAAAAUUAUUUAGUCAGUCUCACGUAUAUAUAAUUAAUUCAUCAAACACAUAAACAAAAAAGUUCUUGUAUGUAUGCUAUACUUUGAUUUGUCUCAACAAGAAAUGACUCAGUCAUCUUUUUAUCUAUGUCCAUUGAGUUUAUGGAGGGCAACAUAUUGAGAUCUCAAAAAUCUUAUUCUCAUACAACACACUUUUUUUUUUGAACAAACGAUAUUAUCUACACUAAGGGAAAAUGGGUGGCCUAAACCUCACAAUGGGCUAGCAAUAAUGUGGUUCAAAUUCACAUUUGGCGAGAAUCAAACCUAAGACCUCUCACUGACAAGUGAAGAAGAAUAUCACUAGACCGUAGUCCUAAAAAAAAUAUAGAUCUUAUAGUCUUGCAGUGUUUUAGAUUAGCUAAAACGUUGGUAUCCAUAUUAACUUACCAAAAAAAAUAUGUUGAAUUUGCUACACCUGGAAUUUGUAGCAGAUUUGUCAUUUUAUAAAGGGGUUUUUAACUCAUUUAAAAAAAAAGAAGGGGUUUUUAACUUUAAUUCUUAAAAAAAAUUGAAAUUUAAUAAAAAUCGGAUGUUAGAUUACAUAUUAAUUAUUGUCCUUUAAUGUGUUAUUAACUCAAAUUAAUUAAUGUGUAUUUUAUUCAAUAUCUCACAUUAAAUAUUUGAAUUUAUGAAAAUGAAAAUUAUAAUAAAAUAUAAUUAAUAUAUCAAAAUUAGAAAGAAAAAGAGAAAUAAUUAAAACAUCAAAAUAUAAUUAAUAAAUGAAGUAAUUAACAUAUCAAGAGACUAAAAUUAGAUUUUAAUUUUACUCAUGUUUUUAAUUUAAAGUUAUUUUUAUCAAAAAUUAAAAUGAAGUUUCCUAUUUUGUAAAUUACAACGAUGAAAAAUGACGCGUUGCACGUAAGAAACAACAUCUAUAUUUUCUCUUUUGUUUAAUAUGCCAUCAAACAUAUCCAUCACAUUUUAAAUUUUGUGGAAGUCCCUCUCUCACAUUGAUAAAGUCUGGUUUGUGUUGGACAGCUGUCCAACAGACAACCCAAAAAUCUUCCAAAAACCAACAAACAUUUCUGACCAGUCAUGCAUACGUAUGCAUGGACCCAAUGGCAUAUAAUCAAAAAUUUUAAAUAAUGGGAUCGUAAUGUCAACUUAAAAAAAAGUUUCAUUAAGCUAUUUCAUCGAACAUUUAGUAAGCAAUUGUCAAUUCUUGUCAACAAUGCCAAAAGUUUAUGUUAAAAUAUAUCAACUACGAUAAUUUGUAGAGGCUUGUCGAGAGUGAUGUAGGAUACUACGAAGUAAUAUUGAGAACUCUUAAAGCUUUUCAACUAAAGUAUUUUAUAUAAAAAGAGAGAAAAGAAAAACAAAUAUGAUAGAAGAAAAUAGAAGAAGUAAGAAGAUGAGGUUGUAAGUUAGUUUGCUUUAGCUAUUUAUAAUGGUCAAAUAAAAUAUACAAACAAAUAUACAUGAGAUUUUUAAAGUUGUUGAGAUCAAGGAUAAUCAAUGAUCCCAUUCUAGUUUUGCCAUUGCAUGGGCCGGAUAGGGAUAUGGCUAAAAUAUAAUUCUAUUAAUUGCGUUUUGGGACUUUGUCUAACAACUUGGCUCUCUCUUGACUUGGAUGCCAUGGAUGGCUCAUGCAGUUUACUAAAACUAGUAAUGUACAAUUUUCAGAGACUAUUAAUUAUCAUCUAUCAGGAAAAUUUGAUUUCCAUGCUUGCCCUUUCACGUCGGUGACUUGGAGAUAAUAUUGUUUCUUGUCCGGAGAUGAAAUAAAAUAAAAAGACUUGCACGAUCAUACUGCAUUAUAUAUAUUACACUAUAUAGUCUAUGUUGGGAGUUAUAUAUUAGUUAAAGUAUAAAUAGUAGUCUGUUAUCCUAUAUUGAUGAAGUGCAUAUGUAAUACAAAUUGUAAUUCCUAUAUAUACUCCAUUUUGGAGAUUAAUGAAUAUAUGAGAAAUUCUCAAAUAUUAUCAUAUAUAUUUUUGGUAUUUACCAUGUUUAGUUUAAUAUAGCAUCAAAGCAGUUCGCUCUUGGUGACCUGUGUGCUUUAAUUUUGUGCCCCACAUUUGUCAUGAUUUCCUUCGUCUUGAAAAAAAAAAAGGAAAGUAAAUAGUGUUGCACUACAGUACAAACAGUGCGUAAACAGUGGUAUGCUACAGUGUUCAUGAACAAUAUUUUGCUACAGUGCCAUUAACAGUGAUCUACUACAUCACUUGAACAGUGAUGUGCUACAGUAUUAUGGUAAAUUGUUUUCAUUCCGCUGCCUAUCUUUUGUGCCUUUAUUGUUUGUGAUUUAAUUCAAUGGCUCAGUAUAAUCAUAAUGUUGUUAUGCAUCUUGGUGGAACAAAUAAAUGGAUAAUUGAUACUGGGACCACUAAUCAUGUGACUAGUGACCCUAGAAUGUUUGAUGAGUUAUGUGACUAUAUUCUUGAUCCGUAUAUUACUAGUGCAAAUGGAGCACAUUCCCCCGUGAAUGUUGAAGGCAUUAUCUCUCUUACUUCGACCUUAUCACUGGUCCAUACUUUACUUGUUCCUGAUGUUAAGUGCAAUCUUUUGUCGGUAGAAAAACUACUUGAUACUUUAUAUUGUUUUGCUCACUUCUACCCUACGUAUUGUUAUUUUCAAGACAUUCAAACUCAGAAAGUAAUUGGUCAUGGUAAAAGAAUAGAGGGUUGUACAUCUUGACUAUGGAGGAUACUGUUGUUUCCGGUUCAAAUAAUCAUCAAGUUUUAAGUGCUAAAGUGGAUGACAUACAUCAAAUUUGGUUGUGGCAUUGGCGAUUAGGACGUCUAUCAUUCAGUUAUAUGAAGCAUCUAUUUCCUGCUUUGUUUCGCAUUUGUAGUGAUUCAUAAUUCAAGUGUGAAGCAUGUGUCAUGGCUAAGAGUCAUCGUGCUUCCUUUCCCAUAAGUGAUUCUAAAGCUACUUUGCCAUUUGAUUUAAUACAUUCUGAUGUGUGAGGUCCGGCAAAUGUUACUUCUAAUGAAUUUCGUUGGUUUGUUACUUUUAUUGAUGAUUGUACUCGAUUAACUUAGGUGUUAUUGAUGAAGAAUAAGAGUGAUGUUCAUUUGCUUCUUCAAGAAUUUUGUGCAAUGGUGUAUACUCAGUUUCAGACCAAAGUUAAGGUUUUCAGGUUUGAUAAUAGAGGAGAAUAUGUGAAUCACACUUUGACAUGCUUUUUUCGUGAUCAGGGUAUUAUUCACCAGACGACUACUUUGUUUACACCCCAACAAAAUGGUGUGUCAGAACAGAAGAAUCGUCAAAUAAUGGAGGUUGCUCACUCAUUGAUGUUGGAUAAAUGUGUUCCUAAUCAUUUAUGGGGUCAUGUUGUUUUGGCUGUUGUAUAUUUGAUAAAUCGUGUUCUAAGUAGGGUUCUUGAUUUUCAGACACCACUUGAUGUGUUACAAAAGCAUGUUUAUCUUGUUUCUGUAUCAAAACUUCCUCCGAAGGUGUUUGGGUGUAUUGCGUAUGUGUAUGUCUACUCUUAUCAGCGGAGUAAACUUGAUGCAUGUGUUCUUCGAUGUGUAUUUAGUAGGUAUGCUAACAAUCAGAAAGGCUAUAAGUGUUAUCAUCCUCCGACUCAUAAAACUUAUAUUACCAUGGAUGUCACUUUCCACGAGGAAGUUUCGUAUUUUGUGAAGCCAUCUUCCGACUCUCCACUUCAGGGGAAAAAAGGGAGUGAAGUGCAUAUUUGAAGAGAUGGUAUGGAUGAUGUGUUACAGGCAGAGUUGGGGAUAGAACCUAUUAUGUUGCGUGAUACUGAUCAGUCGGUUAUAGAUAGUGAUCUGUCACCUAUUAUUCCUAAAACUAUUUUUACUGACGACAGAUUAGAUGUGCCCAACGAGUUGCUUGUCAGUAUGUCUGACGAAUUACUUUCUGAUGACCGAUUGCUUGCUUCUGGUAUGUCUAACGAGCUGCCUGAUGAUGGUUAGUUCAGUGAUGGUUCAUCCAGUGAUGAUUCUUUUAACAAUUUGGUACAAGAUAAUGACAUACAUGAGUUAAAUUCUGACGAUUCUUCUAUUUAUUAGUUGCCUCCACGAGCUAAUCGUGGAAAACCUAAGGUACAAUAUGAGCCUGAUAUGCAUGCCAAAUCCAAAUAUCCUAUCAACAAUUAUGUGUUUACUCAUCGUUUGUCCAAACCAUUUUCAUCUUACAUAUGUCAGCUAUCUAGUGUAUCAAUUCCAACAAAAUUGCACGAUGCCUUGUCUGACCCUAAGUGGGUUAAUGCCAUGAGAGUUGAGAUGGAAGCCUUGGAAAAGAAUUCUACUUGGGAUUUGGUUCAUUUACCAAAUGGGAAGAAAGCUGUUGGAUGUAGAUAGGUGUUCACUAUUAAGCACAAAGCAGAUGGUUCUAUUGACCGGUAUAAAGCCAUAUUAGUUGCUAAGGAUUAUACUCAAACCUAUAGGGUGGACUAUCAGGAGAUUUUUGUUCUUGUUGCCAAACUUAAUACUGUGUGUGUUCUUCUGUCCUUAGUAGCAAACCAGGAUUGGCCUCUGUUGCAGUUUGAUGUUAAGAAUGAUUUCCUUCAUGGUGAUCUCAAGGAGGAAAUUUAUAUGGAUCUCCCACUUAGUAUUAGAACAUCUCCUGAAAAAUGUGUUGUAUGCAAGUUGCAAAAAGCUUUGUAUAGUUUGAAACAAUCUCUUAGAGUGUGGUUUUGGAGGUUUACAAGUUCAAUGAAGAAGUUUGGGUAUGUCCAGAGUCAUUCAAAUCAUACUUUGUUUCUAAAUUGUUUCUAAAGCCACAAAAUGGUAAGCUAACUGCAUUGAUUAUUUAUGUUGAUGACAUGUUAGUGACUAGUGAUGAUCAAAAGGAGAUACAACGCCUUAAAAAAGUACCUAGCUAGUGAAUUUGAGAUGAAAGAAUUGGGUGAAUUGAAGUAUUUUCUUGGAAUCGAGGUUGCACAAUCCAAGCAUGGUAUUUUUCUGUCUCAACAGAAGUAUGUUCUUGAUUUGUUAGUUGAAACAAAUCUGUUAGAUUGCAAACUUAUUGAUACUCUGAUUGAGCAAAAUCAUCAUCUGGGCUUAUUUCCGAAUCAAGUUCCUACUCAUAAGGAACGGUAUCAGAGGCUUGUGGGGAAAUUAAUUUAUUUGUCUCACACUUGCCCUGACAUUGCUUAUGCAGUUAGUGUAGUAAGUCAGUUUAUGCACUCACCUAGUGAAGCUCAUAUGGAUGAAAUAGUCCGUAUUUUGAGGUGCUUGAAGAUGGCUCCUGGCAGAGGCUUGGUUUUCUCCAAGAAUGGUCAUUUGAAUGUCGAAGGGUAUACAGAUGCAGAUUGGACAAGUUCUAUCACUGAUUGGCGGGUGGUAAUCUAGUUACUUGGAGAAGUAGAAACAAAAAAUGGUGGCUAGGUCAAGUGCUGAAGCUGAGUUUCGUGGUAUGUCUCAUGGUGUAUGUGAGUUGUUGUGGUUAAAAAAAUUGUUGAGAGAUCUUGGAUUUAAACCCAAUGGUGCUAUGAAACUCCAUUGUGAUAACAAGGCUGCUAUUGAGAUUGCUCAUAAUCCAGUGCAACAUAAUCAAACAAAACAUGUGGAGAUUGAUCAACAUUUCAUCAAGGAAAAUUUGGAUGCUGGAAUUAUUAUGUUUCCGUUUGUGAGAUCUGAAGAUCAACUCGCUGAUGUACUUACUAAGACUGUGUCUAAUAGUGUGUUUUCCAACUCGCUUGACAAGUUGGGCAUGCAUGACAUCUUUGCUCCAACUUGAGGGGGAAUUUUACGAGUUAUAUAUAGUUAAAGUGUAAAUAGUAGUCUGUUGUCCUACAUUGAUGAAGUACAUAUGUAAUACUAAUUGUAACUCCUAUAUAUACUCCACUUUGGAGAUUAAUAAAUAUAUAAGAAAUUCCCAAAUAUUGUCAUAUAAAUUUUUGGUAUUUAUCAUGUUUAGUUUAAUAGUCUAAACAUCAGGAAAUACACCAACCCUAAACCUAAUGGAUUUUAUGAAGCCGCUGGUUUGGGUACACAUUAAUCUAACCUAAUUGCUCUACCACAUUCUAAACACAAAAUUUGUUAUAAAUAGGAUGAUUAAAUUUAUUUUCUCAAGCGGUAGAGUAGUGAACCUCACAGCGACGACAAUCUUCCACCCCCAAAUUCGGGUUUUUUUGUACUAAAAUGGUCUUUUAUGUAUAAGAACUUUACGAUAAGUUUAUUAAAAUUGGCUCUGUAUCUACGAAAUCUCAACAUCCAUACGUUACAAAAUGGAUUAGAACUCCUAGGAAAUAAAAUAGAACAUAUGAUGAUCCCUUUAAAGGGCCUUAUAAUGGGGAAGACUUCUCACAGAAUAUAAGAAGACGAAGAGGAAAACUAAAAACUUAGAACUUCAAGGAGAUGGACUGGAGCAGGGAGAAUGGCAAAGAACCGGAACCCAGAAGACCCGCAACGAAAAAGAAAACACUGUACUUUUUUUAGACAUUUUUUCACAUUUCUUCUCGGCCUUACAGCCAAGUAGCAUUUUCCGACCCCAAAUAAAGAUAGAAGGAAAAAACCAAAUUAAGGUAAAUAAAUUUUCUAUAGCAACUUGGCAAACAAAAACAUACUAGAAGAAAACAAGGAAAAUACAAAGAAAUUAAGGAAGUAUGGGAAACAAAAUAAAUUUAAUACGGGACCAACGACAACGGUGCAAAUGUAUAUUGUUCAGGAAAUAAACUUUUAGCGAAAAUGUGCUGCAAAAUUGACCAAUUUUGCUUCAUAUUCACACUCAAUUUUUUUAAGAAUUAAUAUCUGUAGAGUUUAGACCAAAAAUAAAAUAAAAAACAAAACCAAAAUGCUACUCCACUUUCUUGGUACUUAACUCAGCUCUCCACCUCCUUCCAAUCUUACAAGCUUCUAGAUUUAGAUUUGUCUCAAAUCACAUGCCAACUAACCUGCCCAGCUCAAUUUUAUUUUUUCUUUGGAAAUUCCAGUGCGUCUCUACUUUUGUUUUUCUAAAUCUUACUUACUCCCAUUAUAAUUGGAAUUUUAUAUAUUUAUAUGGAUGCUUUGUCAAGAUAUGAGAGAAAUAGUAGUGAUUCAAAAAGAUGAUUAGGAGCCAAAAAUAUUUAUUAUUUUAGAUUGGUGUUUAUGUUUUUGAACAGUUAAAAACUUUUUUGGUCAUUGUGUUUAUGUUUAAAAUUUAUUUUGGUCACUGUAUUUUAUUUUCUGCUAAUUUAGUUACUGUGUUAUCACAAGUUAGCAAUCUUAGUCCUUCUCAAUCAAACGUUAAAAAAAACGCACAUGACAUGCAAGUGCAGGGGUAACUAUGUAAGUGAAAAUAUAUCUUUGCCCCUGCACGAAACUGUCACGUGCAUUUUUUUGGCGGUUGACUUAUGGUAACGCAGUGACCAAUUUGGCAGAAAAUAAAACACAAUGACCAAAAUAAAUUUUAGAAAUACACACAGCGACCAAAAACGUUUUAAUUUAACCCAUUUUUAACAGUCCAGCCAGCUACCAUGAAAGCUACAACAUGAAAGCUGACUGUCAAAAUUUUGUUUAAAAAUUCAUACACAAUAAUCGUCAUAAGAACGUGCAAUAGGUACUUUGAAUUCUUAAAUAUACUGCAUGGUUACCCUUUCCUUUUGUUUUAUACAGAGAAAUCUUGACAGGCAGUCAAAAGCAAAAUUAUGUUCUUCUAGUGAUAUCUGUGUGCUAAAAAGGAAGUACGUAGCUACGUUCAGUCUUCACCUAACACUCCUAUUUGCACCUAAAAGAUGUGGAUAACAAAGAUUUUGACCAAAAUCACAUUGACAAGUACUUGCCAAAGGAUCACGGAACCUAUGAUUGUAAAAGAUAUACGUGUUGGGCCUGACCGACGUUAAUUAGUUGUUCAUAUUGAUUUGAGAAAUUUGAUUGAAUGAGGAUUAACAAAUCACAAUUGCUAAAAUAUUAAAAUGUAUUAACUGCGACAUAUUGGUUAAAUAAUUAUUGCACAUCGAAAAAAUAUUGACGAGUAAUUAUGAAUUUUUAUUUUCAUUAUUUCAAACAUUUUUAUAUUAGAAAAGCUAAAGAAAAUGAUUUAAAAACUUUGAAUUUUAAUGAUACGUACAAAAUGAAAGGUAAAAUAAAUAGUACCAGAAUUAACUUUUUGUUUAAAUUUUAUUUUCUAUUUGGCAUCAACUUUUGGUUUAAAUAUACUAUAUAACCCUCACAAAAGAAAAAGCAUGGUGUACUAGUAGCUAAAAGACAUAAAAAAGGUUAAUCUUAAUUUAUUAUUCUAAAGUUUCUUAGUUUUCAAUAUUUGGUAUAUAAAGUUUUUUUUAUUCUAGAGUUGUACAUAAAGUUAUAAUUUUGGGAUACUUUCAUACAUCCAUUAAGGUUGCUGUUAAAUUUAUCAUUAACUGAUGAUAUGACAUUUAUGUUGACAAUGACACGUAGAUAUUAAAAAUUAAAAAUUAAAUUAAUAAAAUAAUAAAAAUUAAAAAAAAAAAAAAAUUGGGCGUCUUCACCCUCACCCCUUCUGACCCCCCUCCCUUCUCUCCUCUGCACCCACGCUUCCCCCUCCCUCUUCGACUCCACCCAACGCUGCACUCCGAGGAUUGUUGCCAUCCUUUCAAGCCCAAUUUCGCCCCCAAAUAGGCCCGGGCAGUACUUGGCCAUAAACUUCAAGUCGUAGACCCUCUCGAACAAACGACCUGCCAUCUUUGCGAACUCAGUGGGGGAGCUGAGGAUGGUCUUCCUCGUCACCAGCUUCAUUACAUAGGCCGAGUCGUAGAGGCCGUGGAAGCUCACCCAUACGAGCUGCCCCCUGUGCACCCUUAAAAUCUCAACGAAACCCUCCACAAAAAUAUCCGAAUCAAUGCCGAACUUCCCAAAUUUCUCGAGAUCCAAGCCAUUCGCUUUGAGGAGGGCAAUGGAUUCUGGAACAUGGGGGUCGGUUUCCUCGUCAAAACCCCGAAAGUUGAACUCCCAGGUGCCGCCGACGUUGCCGCGGUCGUCGAACAGGGUGAUACCCACUUGGAUGAGAUUGAGAGAAUCGACAUUAAGGGCGAUAUCUUGGUAACGGAGGCCCUUGGAAGUGCCUCUGGGGGUGUUGCGGAGGAACCCCGGAAAUUCGGUGUCGAACGAGACGAUCGGAAAACGGCAGAGACACCGAUCGACGGAGGGAAGGGGAAAGGUGGGUGCAAAGGAGAGAACGGGAGUGGGGUCGGAAGGGGUGAGGAAGAAGAUGCCCAAAUUUUUUUAUUUAUUUAAUUUUUUUAGUUUUUAUUAUUUUAUUUUUUAAUAUGCACGUGUCAUCAUGUCAUUGUCCACGUGGAUAACACAUCAUUAGUUAACAGUAAAUUUAAAGGCAACCUUAAUGAAUGUAUAAAAUUGUUCCAAAAUUAUAACUUUAUGUACCACUCUGAGAUGAAAAAAACUUUAUUUACCAAAUAUUGAAAACAAAAAAACUUUAAGAUAAUAAACUAAUAUUAAUCCUAAAAAACUACUAAAGGAAAGGGUGAAAGAAAAAAUUAUUAGUUUGUGCUGUUCUCAUGGUAAUAGUGGUUUUUGUAUUGUACGAUCAUGUGUUACAUUUUAUGCAUUAUUAUGUGGAUGAAUGAAUAAGUUAAUUACAUCGCAUGUCAUAGGGUGAAUAUUACAUUAAAAAAUUCUUCAUUCUUGUUAUUCGUCAAAUUAAUGGUUGUGCAUUUGUAUGAGGACCUAGAUCUGUUGAGGAUGCAGAUCUUCACUCGUUGAAGGCCAUCCCUAUCUAUCUACUACUACUCUUUGGAAAAUAAUUGACUACAGAUGAUUGUACAAAAAAAUAAUUAAUAUUAUCUGAACAGCUCACCAUGCAUGUUCAGUAAAGUAAAGCGGAUUUGUUUAUUCAUUGUCUAGUUCAAACUUGGGGAGCAUUUUCUCAUUCUUGCGGUGAUCAGAAUAAUGUGAUUUAAGUCCAGUUAAACAUGCUUAAUUAUGCAUUUAAGCAUCUUUUAUUUAUUUGCUUUCAUUAUUUUUUCCUUCUUAAUGUGUUGUUAUUGUUUGGAACAACAAGUAAGACAAAUCUAGCCAGUUAGCAUUCACCGCAUCACCGCAUAAUGAAAGAUUAUUCAUAUUUGGAAAUGAAUAAUUAAUUAAAAAACUGUAUUAUUAAGGCAAAUGGGCACUUAAUAUUUGUAUCUUAAACCUUCCGAGUCGGAUAUUCGAGUAAAUUAGUUAAAAAGCUAUGCAAAAUGUGAAUGUGACAGACUACGUAGUAAAGUUUGGGUUAAGAGAGAGAGAGAGAGAGAGAGAGAGUAUUUCGCAGCCGGCUGGUCCCUAUGUACGGGAAGAAUCAUAGAAAGUUAGGUAACUACACACAUUUUUCAAAGAUGUCGAUCAUGAAAAAUAUUUGAUAACAAAUUCAGGGAGGACAUACUGCUUAAAUUAUUAACCUAGAAAUAAAGUUCGAUCUCUUGCUUUAACUUUUCUGCUACGUAGCUCUUAUUGCAUUAAACAAAGCCUUAUUAAAGUAAAGAUGGUCACACCCUUAGCCCUUUAGGUGAUACGUUCAGGGAAAUGGUUAAUGUUUUUACAAGCUCUUGUUUAUUUUUAUUUUUUAAUAUUUUCAGAUAUUUUUACAAUCUUUUACUGCGCAGUAAUAGAGUGUAAAAAUCAUAUCUAUGUAUUUAUUUAUUAUUAACUAUGUUUACAAUGAACCUUCUAUUCCAUGAAACAAGAUAUAAAAAUAAAAAUAAAAAGGAGAAGGGCAUAAAUUAACAAAAUUCGGUCAAAGGCCGCAUUGGUCCAAACAUUAAUUGAUAAUCUAUGACAAAUAGUCUGGCCCCAUUAGCAUUAUUUUAACAGUAAUAUUGUUUUUUUACUAAGAUAAUUAAUAAUUGCCAAGUGAAAAUUUGGCAUGAGUACCAUUGUGAAGGGUAAAAACCAAAGCUAUAUAAAGGGUGAGGAGGCUUAGCUUCAGAGGCAGACAACCAAAAACCCAUUCUUAACGAAGGAUGGGAAAAAUGGUGCCUUCACAAGUGACCUCUCUUGUGGUCACUCUCCUAGUGGCAAUAGUCUCUCUCACAUUGCCUUCAGAAACUUCAGCUAACUACCCUUACACCUCUCCACCACCACCGGCCUCUCCUCCCUACCAUUACAAGUCACCACCGCCUCCUUCUCCUUCUCCUCCAGUGCACUACUCACCACCUAAGCAUCCCUACCACCCUAAGUCACCACCACCUCCUGUGUACGCACCACCUAAGCAUCCCUACCACCCUAAGUCACCACCACCUCCUGUGUACCCACCACCUAAGCAUCCCUACCACCCCAAGUCACCACCACCAUCACCAAAGCCUUACCACUACAAAUCCCCACCACCACCUCCUGCUCCAGUGCACUCACCACCCCCACCUAAGGAGCCAUACCACUACAAGUCCCCACCACCACCACCCAAGAAGCCCUACCACUACAAAUCUCCCCCACCACCUCCUCCUCCAGUUCACUCACCACCACCACCCAAGGAGCCUUACCACUACAAAUCUCCACCACCACCACCCAAGAAACCUUACUAUUACAAGUCUCCUCCACCACCACCAAAGAAGCCUUACCACUACAUGUCUCCUCCCCCACCGGUGUACUCACCACCUCCACCAGUGCACUCACACCCACCACCAAAAAAGCCUUACCAUUACAAAUCUCCUCCCCCGCCAGAAUAUUCACCAGCUCCACCAGUGCACUCAACCCCACCACCAAAGAAGCCCUACCAUUACAAAUCCCCACCACCACCACCACCACACAAGAAGCCUUAUUACCCUGUUCACUCACCACCUCCACCUAAGAAGCCUUACCACUACAAAUCCCCACCACCACCUUCUCCUACUCCUCCUAAAUACUCACCACCUAAGCACCCCUACCACUACAAGUCUCCACCACCACCACCAAAGAAGCCUUACCAUUACAAGUCCCCACCACCUCCUUCUCCUACUCCCCCUAAAUACUCACCACCUAAGCACCCCUACCACUACAAGUCACCACCACCACCACCCCAAGAAGCCUUACCACUACAAGUCUCCACCACCACCACCUCCUCCAGUUCCCACACCAUCUCCACCCAAGAAACCUUACCACUACAAGUCUCCCCCACCACCCCCUCCAGUCUACAAGUCUCCUCCACCACCAGUUUACUCACCACCACCACCACCUAAGAAACCUUACAAGCCACCAACUCCUCCAGCAGUUCACCCACCACACGGUUACAUCUAUUCCUCACCCCCACCUCCUCACCACUACUAGAUAUUGAAAGUUUAAUUGCAUCAAGCUGGUAAGCUUCUCCAUUCUAUGCUAUUAUUCAUUAAUUAGUUAGUACUACUGUUGUCAAUUUGGAAAUCACCAUACAACCAAAUGCACACUCUGACGAAAUAACAUAUAAAUUCUAAUUGAAUAGUCUUUAUUUCCAUUUUUGGCUAAUAAUCCUUAUUAGCAUAUGGAUAAUGUAUUUCCAACAUAUCGUUAUUAACUUAUUACUCAAUUAAUAUUUCUUUUUCUUUAAAUUCAGUAGCCGUGUGUAACAAAUAGACCAAUGGCAGAGACCCAACAAAUAACAAUAAUAUGUCUUUGCAGGUAAGGGAAGAAGAAAGGUCAGAAUAAAGAGGGGCUGUUGAAGUCGAACAGCGCGC